This 84056-nucleotide long non-coding RNA is filed under the name Malus domestica (apple). RNAcentral's name for it is "long non-coding RNA (MDOM_LNC011822)". Lineage: Eukaryota; Viridiplantae; Streptophyta; Magnoliopsida; Rosales; Rosaceae. The record is from RNAcentral.
UUUUUUUUUUUUUUUUUUUUUUUUUUUUUUGUGAGUUCGUGUUGGAGUUUAAUUUAUAACUCGAUCCUUAAUCAGAUCCAGAGGGUCGCUGAUUUAGACAGAAAACAAUCAUUAAAUUAAUUAAUUUUAUAACGAAAUUGAAUUAAUGGGAAAUCAUUGUUAUUUAUUGUGUCUUUCACUUUUUAAAAAAAAAAUUACUUUUGGUUGUUGGUUGUUUUAUAACUUUUAUUCCUACGCCAUGACGUAAGCAAACACUAGAACUAAGCGUCGAGAUAUAAAAAGAAUAUAAUUGACGGCUGCGAUUCAACCGUCACGGUAACUGGAUUAAUUAGUUUUAAUCACUAUUUUUCAUUGCUAAUCAUACUCCAUUUGGCUAAUUACUAUCUCCCAGAAGAAGAUAAUCCUCCACAAUAAUUCCAAUUUGUAUUUACUAUUUAUUUCAAGCACGUCGUUGUCAAAAUGUUUCCUGACUUCCUUUUUUUCCCGGACGGAAAAGAAAAUUACACGUCACAUCUAUUCGGUGCAGUGCAAAAAUGGAAAACGGUUGCGUUUGGAAACCAACCAACCCCAUAUGGACAAACCAAAAGAAUCCCAUCCCUCAACCAUUUGGGAUUGAUUGUGGUCGUUUUAAGCGUUUCUGUUAUGUUUGACAGAAAAAUUUAUAGUGCUAAUGAAUUUAAGAAGUCUUUUUUUCUAAAAUAUCACCUAAUAAAUCAUAGUAAGUGGCCCAAUGAUAAGGACGCAGACUGCGACUCUUCAAUAAAUAAAAAAUUAUGAGAGGUCAGGUUCGAUGCUCCUAGUUGGUGAGUGUAAUUGACUCUAGCCACGGGUAGGAUGAAAUUUCUCAUAGUUUUUCCAGACCCUGAAUGAGUGGAUAAUCGUAACUUGUUAACUGUUGUCCUCCUUUUUAAGAAUACUGUUUCUAGAAAAAGUAAAAAUACUUUAGGGCACCGUUUGGAGAUUUAUUUGGGCCAUAUUAGAGAUUGUAUCUAGAAAAGGUAAAAAUACUUUGAGUACUAAAAACGUAUUUUAUUACGGUUGGUAGAAAAAUCUAACAAUGUUCAAUCGCUUAUGGGUCAAUGAAACAUUUUUUUUUCAAAGAAUCACUAGGAAAAGCACAUGAAGUUUGUAUAAAAAUUUCAACAUGUUUUUAAUAAAAAAUAUUUUUGCAUAACCGGGUUUAUAAUUCUUUUCUAAAAAGGGACCGGUUGGUGUCCACCUUUACAGAGUUCGAAAAAGUUCUCAAAGGAAUUUUAGCCUCUCUUUGUCCAACAUCAUGUGAUUCACUAAUGUCAGAAAUCGAACUCAAAACGUGUCGCAUAGAAUGUGCCUAAAAUUGAAAUUCAUCUCAACCACUAGGUUAGCCAAUGAGCUUAACCGGGUUUUUUUCAAAACUAAAAUAAAAUAAGGAAUUGGGUAGGUGUUAGCUGGUAACCAACUUUAAUGGUUACCAUCGUAUUACUUAAUAAAAUAAGAAAACUUUAACGAAAAACUCCCAAUAUUGUUCACUUUAACGAAAAACUACAUUUUUACACUAAAAAGUCAAUCUCCCUUUAUUUUGUCCUUAUCGUUAAAACUUCAAGGGCGCAUUUGUUUGGCCUCUUUAAGUCUCACUGGACUGGACUAAGUUAGGUAGGAGUCUUAGCCCGUGUUUGGCGCAAACAAAGACUGCCUUUAAUGAAACUAAGUCGGACUCGCACCGACUAAAAGCUUCACUAGCUGUUCUUAGCUGGUCCCCCCGAAAACUGGCAGAUUGCUAAUCCCGUCUCUAGCGCCCACGUCGUCUGCAAGCAUGCAUCCCAUAUCUCCUUCUUCCCGUGAACCCAGUUACCAAAUCAUGCCUUCCACCCUUUUCUCCAGUCACCAAAUCUGAAACGGCUUUGCCCAUUUUGUCCCGCAAACCCAACCCCCUCUUUGUUUCAGAGAUGAAUUCAUUCGGUUAAGCUUCCAAUAAGCUUAAUCCACACCCUACACAACACUACAAUUCGAAGAUUAAACCUUAUAAAUCCCAAAUAUAGAAAAUAUCAAAAUCUGCAAUAAACCUAGAAAUCUAUUACCUUGGGUUGCUGUGCACUUCUCCAGAAAUCUGUAAGCAAAAAACGAAAGACCUCCAAAAAUCCACAAUGCUCUUCUCCAGAAACCUAGAAAUCUAUUACCUUGAUUUGGGAUUUUUGUGAAAAAAAGAGAGCUAUCUCUGGUUAGAGGAACAAGAAGAAAGACUUGUUGGUCUUUGAUCCAAAUUAGGUGCAAAAUGCACAGCUUCCUCCGUUGAAGAAGAAAACAGGGAGAAAAAGGGGAGAAAAAAGAGAGAUGAGAGGGAGACGGUGUGCCGAAGAAAACGAGGGAGAAUGGUGGAAAAAUGGUGGAUGUUUCCUAAAAAAAGGAAGAGAAUCCAAAAAGAAAAAAAUAAAUUAAAAAUAAAAUAGAUAAAAUAUUAAUAGAUACAUAAAAUAUUGAUAGAUAUAAAUAUAAUAUUAUAGUUUAUUAAUUAGUCUGCUUCUUAGUCCGACACUACACCAAACACUUCACUAAGCUAGUUUAGCUUAGUCUAGUCUAAGCCAGUCUAGCUUAAUCCCUUAAGCUAGUCCAGUCCAAGACAAUUCGGUACAACAAACACCUCCCAAAUUUUCAAACAUUUUUCAUUAGUUUAUCUAUAAAAUAAAGAUACGAGUUGUGGAGCUACUUUUGCAAAUUUGGAGCCUUUCUAGUUAAGAAAUAUAUUAUUUUUGUUGCCAAAUCUGCAGAUCCAGAGUGGUGCAGGUAGAAUAUUAGCUGUGACAAUCGUAGUGGGUUAAGCCCACGGUUUCUGUUUUUUAUAUUUUAUGCCCGAAGAUUUGCUCUACUAGGGAUUAGAGAGAAGAUUCUUGCUCAAGAAAAAAAUUGACAGCUUUAAUUCCAUGUGGCUCUCAGGCUUUAUUCUCUGUCUGUGUAAAUAAUGCCCCUGAAAAAACAAAACUAUAUAAAUAAUUUCAUCCAGAAUUUUCAGACAAUUUCAAUCCCAUAAUCCUCUUGAAAGACUUUAUCAGCAACUACUAAUAAACAAAAUCGAUCUGCCCACAUUCGAAAUAUUGUAAGAGAUUUAUUGAAUACUCAUUAUGUUCUAAUAUUUCAUAAUAUAUAUGUCAUUCUAUUAUGUAAUUUUUGAUAAAAUUAUAUAAAUUUUAAAUAUAAACAGACACGUAUUUAUACGAAAUAUGAUAAAUUUUAUGAUAAAUUUUCUUAAAUUCACCUAGUCCACCUAGGCGCUAGGCGCCAUUCCGCCGUCCAACUAGCAUAUAGCGUCUGAAUGUGGUGAAUAAGUGACAUUGGUAUAUGUCUAGGCAAAAAACAGUACCAGUUUCCCGUCGGUUGAAGCAGGAAUGAUUCGUCUAUGUUUGCUAGCAGAAGAUAACUGAAGAAAACCUCCCGAAAACUUUAACAUCAUCCUUGCUUUCCGCCUUCAAGCAGUUUCCAGUUCCCUGUUCAAGUAAUCAACAAACAUCCUCUUUGCACUGUCUGCAUCAGAAGGUGGUGGUCGCCCACUUAAACUAGUAUGCCCUGUCAACUUGAUGAAAGUUCGUCGCAGCCUACGAAGUUCUGGAAGGCCAACUGAUCUUGAAAGUUCGUCGCAGCACGAGCCAAACACCACAACUCGUACCUGUAACCCUAGAUGCUAUUCAAAGAAUCUACAAUUAUAAUACUGUCUUUUGACACUGAUCUAUCGACUUCAGAUCUUAGCACUCCUCUUAAAUUCUUCUCCGCAAGCAUAUUGGCAUAGCUAUCAUUGCGAUCAAGAUGAAAGGAAGUCUCAUCAAUAACCCUAACGAUUUGAUUUGAUCCCGAUUCUCUGAGAGCGCAGCCUUUGACUUCCCGUUGCAGGGUUGUCCACAAAUCACAACCAAUGCCAUUUGCAGAAGAAUAUACCUUCGUCUAAGUGGACAAAAUAAUUCCCAACUUCUUGAAAUUCAGAAGCAACUCUCCAAUAGCUGCUGGUUCACAUACACAUUGUUAACGAUAAGCGCGAAUCAACCAAAAUCACCAUCGUUCUGUAAUCAUAUUCCAACAAACAAAGCUAUAAACCAUAUCUGAAAGGGAUAUCAUAUUCAGAUGCGAGGCGAUUUUCGUUACAAUAUUUUGUUAGGUACUCAAGCCCAAGAGGAAGAACCCAAUCUAAAAGACUAGUCGAAUAGGUGGGAGGGUCCCAAGGACUUAAGAAUCCCUGCACUUCCAUAAGUGUAGUCGAUGUGGGAUCAAGACAUUAUACCAUCCUUCAGAAGCCGGCACCUACGACGGCCCUUACUCUGGUAAUUUUCACUCUUAAUGGCAGCGCACCAUGUGGUCGUCCCGUUAAGGUAGCCAUUUCCAGAUCGCUCCCUCCGCAGCAUCAGAAACCUAAGCUUUGAUACCAAUGUUAGGAGCCCAAACCCAAAAGACUAGUAGAAUAGUUAGAGCACCCAACGAAUUAAGAACCCUACACCCCUACACUCCAUAAGUGUAGUCGAUGUGGGAUCAUACCAUAUUUCCGUUGUAGUGAAAUUACAAUUCAAUCGGCACUCUCGGAGCUGGUAACGAACACGAAAUCAGAAAAUGAGAUGAAUUAAAAAACAAAACUAUAAAUUAUCAAUUCUCAACCAGUAUUCAAACAAAGCCUCCCACUUUCCACUUUCCAGACUGAAAACCUUAAUUAACGAUUAGACCGAACAUACAAGCACUCUCUACGGAAAUUAAUACGAAAACAACAAUUAAAAACCCUACAAACUGAAGAAUCGACAAAAUUAACUCAAAUAAAACGAGAUUAAGAAGCGAUUAAUUAACAAAGCAUUAAUGCAUAAGCACAAAAAUGGAAGAAAGCGAGAAAUACGGAGCUUGAAAAGUACAUGUUCGACGAGAAGAAGAAGACGAUUUCAGAUGGAACUGGAAGGAGUCAAACGACUCAAACAAUUCGGUUUGAAAUUGGAGACAGAGAGUGAAGUCGCACGGAAACGCCAGAGGAAGAAGGGAUUCGGGAAAAGGCCAAACGACGUCGCUCCGAUGUAUUUAACAUUUCAAACAAAAUUACCCUCUUUUUGGGUCAAUUCAAACAAAUUAUUCGGUUGUGCCAUAUUUCUACGGAAAUUUUAACGAAAAGUUCACAGUACUGUUUAUUUUAACGAAAUAUCAUAUUUUUACAUUAAAAGUCAAUUCCGAUAUUAUUCACUUUAUCAUUUAUUUUGUCAUUUUCGUUAAAUCUCAAAGUUUUCAAAUCAUUUCCAUUAGUUUUUCUCAUUUUCACCAACCCAGACCCCACCCCACCCGGACCGGUGGGAAUGUGAUUCGGCGGCAGUUUAUUUUUUUGAAUUUUGAUUCGGUACAGCUGCAAGUCUCCGUUUACUCGGACACAAUAUUUGCGUGGGACGUUGGGAGAAGUAAUUGUAACAGUUCAUUUCAUCUCACGAGUCUCGUGGAAAGACGUUAUAAAAGCGAAGAAAUUCCGUUGUCUUCUCUCAAAAUCCUACCGCUAUAAAAACCCUAGACACGCAGUUUCCACCGUCCCCUCCACCACUCACAAUCUAAUUCCCCCCCUCUCUAUCUCUGGUUUUUGGCUCCGACUGGUACGAAAUCCCGGUAAGUUUUUCAUCCCCUUUUGGCUUCACAAAUUUUUUAAAUUUAAUUCUCGCACUCUCUUUCCUUGUCAAUCUAGGAGCUUUGAUUAUGUCAUGGGAUAACAUUUCACAGUACGAUAUUAUAUUUUAAAUUACUUUAGUGUACGGAUAGGAAAUUUCAAUUUGAGUCAUCUAGCAUAAAUAUUUGGUUUAAUUGCUUGUUUUGGUCUGGCUCGACUUCAUGUUUUUGAAUUUGAUGUGAGAAAACUGACAGACGGUGUGGAAACUCAAUCCAAGGAGGGAUUUUGUGUCUCAAUGGAAAGUCAUCCCACGCAAGAGAGUGUGACCGGUGUAUUUUGAUCUCAUCCGACUCCACACUGGUUCAAUUUUAGUUCUUCUAAAGAAGAUUUUCUAUCCUGUAUAGGACACCAAAUUGUUUUACUUAGCUAACUUUUCUGAGCUUGAGACCAGAAUAGGAUACAAAUUGUUUUACGUCUAAUUCAAACCAAAAUCCAUAAAUAGGGUAUUUAAAUCCAGAAAAAAAUGGGAUACUCGCGCUAGAAUUUAUUACGUAUUCCUAUUUUGAUUACCUUAGCUUCUCUAUAUAUACAUGCAUAUGUGUAUGUAUAGGUUAACAAAAACGAAGGUUUAUCCCACAACUCAGAGAGCUCAAAACUCAAACCGUGACAGAAAAUAUCAACUGCGUCAUUGUCCUUGUCUCCCUCCAUGGCAUCCUCAGCUUCCUCGCAGUCAUCUUCAGCGUCCUCGCAGUCCGCUGACAAGUACGAGGGGUUUGAUCUGUUGAAGUGUUCGACCGUCCAAGAGGGGAAGAAAGAAGCGGAGGUCAAGUUACCGUUAGGGUAUCGAUUUAAUCCCACCGAAGAUGAGAUCGUUGUGUACUUUCUGUUUAACAAGAUUAUGGACCGCGCAAUGCCUACCUACGAUCUUAUAAAAGAGGUUGAUGUGUACGGGUAUGAUCCCAAUCAGCUGCCGAAUGGUGAGUUUCCGAUUUGAUUGUUAUUUUGUACUACUAUUGAGUUCAGUCCUGUUUUAGGUUCAAAUCUGAUUGCUUAUCGUUCUGUGACUCGCAGGUGACUUCAAACACAAUGCUGGUUGCAAUGCGGCCUAUUACUUUGCCAAUAGAGAACCGUUUGAUGCUAGUGAGGGGAAGAUAAUUAAGACGGCUGCAAACGGUGGUUACUGGAAGGUGAUCGAUGACGAAUAUGAGGUUUUGUUCAAGGAUAGUGAAGUAAUCGUAGGGUUUGAAGCCGUCAUGAACUUCUACGAGGGGAAGGAGCCAAACGGGACCAAAACUCCCUUUGUCAUGAACGAAUACAGGCUCAAUCCGCAUGUGGUACCUGCUCAUGUGCUGAAUGACAGCAUUAGGAAUAAGGUACGGACUGUAAACUACGUACAAAAGUUCUUCUAGUAUGCUUUUGUUUUAGGUUGUGAAUUUUGUCCAAAAUUGUUUGGUGGGUGACAUUUUUUGUUCUCUUUGUUUCAGAUUGAGAGGUACGUGGUAUGCCGAAUUAUAAACGAGGAGGUUUCGAAUCAGCCCGUUAUCGACUAUAAAAAGGAAUCUCUGGAGCUUCUUUUGAAAUAUGCGUCUGCCGGCACUGUUAAAGACGGAGAACCAAAAUGAUAUGGCAGAAACAGCCUAGUCCUUCAUUGAAAUAGCAAAUGCAGCUCCUUUGUUUUGAUGUUUUUUCUUCUAGUGUUAUAUAGAUAUAGCAGAACAGUAUGUAUACAUUAUUUUUGGUCUAAUAUUUGACUUGACGCAAGAGAAAAGUUUCAUCGAGAAGUUUUUUAGUGUCACAACUCAUAUGUUAUUACAAAUCAACCGGUCAAGAGAGUUCAGAAUUCUAGUUAAAAUGAAUUCGUAUAAUUGCAAGAAUAGACAACCAACAGGUUUUGUGACCGAUCUGCACUCAUCAUCAUGUUAUAACACAUCGAAAGAGUUUACAAUUCUGAUUUAUAAGUAUUCAAGCAAAACAACAUCGAGAGUUCAAUGUAGCAUAAUGAAUCCGUAUAUAAUUGAAAGUCUUCAAAAUUAACAAAAUAUUGUGACCAAAUCAACAAACUACGCACGAUCUAAAAUACUCGGCGAGAACGUUCUCAUUUAGAUUAUGACCUGUAAACCCUAAACCCUAAACCCUCUUCCAUUUCUCGCUCCAGCAUCUGAUGCAUCGAGAUUUCAUCUUGGAUAUCUAACCUCAAGCCCUAUCAAGCAAGGGAUUCUUCGUCGGAUUCGUUCAAGCCCACUGAAAUGCAAAUAGGCAAAUUCCUGGAUCACCCGGUUAGAAUGUGGAGAAGAACAAAAGCUGACUCCCUGCCAUUAUCAAUGAAAAAAGGUUGCGUAAAUAACAAGACCCAGUAAUAGCACACAAUUUACCAUAUAAGUACAGUAUCAACCUGCAAAGUAUGUAUUUGCAGCAUAAGACUCAACUUUUCAAGAUAAGCAGUCGCAUAAUUUGACAUCGAACAGUACCUGCAAAGUGUGUAAUUGAUUUGAAUUAUAAACGCUCAGAACCCCUUUGCAGCGGUAUACAUCCAUGUCAUGUUUCUUCUCCCAAAGAAUCUCCUCAAUCCACAAACGAACCUUUUGAACAAGACCAUCAGAUAUAAUGACUGAUACAUAUGAUUACUAUUCAUUUUCGGGAAACUGCAGCAACGAGAAAUAAGCAUCCACUAUCUUUGAGACCACAGUUUUAGCCGCAGAAAUUGUAAAUAAUUCCUUACUGUUGCUUUUAUAUAACAGUUUAUAAAAAAACAAUUGAUGUUAGUUGCCAGAACUUCAUUGUCCAAUCAAUUUUCACAGAUGAAUAAAAUAAUCAAACUAACAACAAUGUAAUGAUGAAUGCUAACCUUUCUGAAAAGUUGGUAACACAGCACCAAAUAGUUAACAGUAUUUGAUUUCAAACAACUCAUAUCAUAACUAUUUCACAAGAACACCUUUUCAAGAUCAACCUGCCGUGGCUCGGAAAUGCAUAAAGUUCGGACACCACUAUCAUGAAGAUCACUUGUAGACAGAGCGCGACUUUCUUCCAAUAAUGAUGCUAACUGGGUAGCAUGCUGAGAAAGAAAAAGUUUUAAAUUAUUUUUUUGAGUAAAAUUUGAAUAUUAUUAGAAGACCGGUAUGAACUACAAAUAUAAGCAAACAAAAAAAUGGAGAUGCGCAUGACUCACCGUGGCAUCAUAGGCCCGACAGUCCAAUAUAUUGGACAGGUCAACUUGACCACGGACAGAACGGAUGAUACUAGCAAGUGAGUUAAUACUAUGUAUUUCCUUCUCCAGUUCCUCCAGAAAAUCCGCAGAACCCUCUGGAGAAACCAAAUCAACCUUGUUAAUAAUAAUAACAUCCUACAACAAAAGGCCAAACUCAUAAGAUAUGAAGAGCAAGCACAAUACAAUCCAGCAUAAUAAUACAAAGUUGAAACCGGGAGAGAGAGAGAGAGAGAGAGAGAGAGAGAGAGAGAGAGAGAGAGAGAGAGCACUAGAAUAGAACAGAUCAUAUGAGUAAAACUACCAGUAACGACAAACCAAGUCUGAUAAAGCUAUCCUAUUAUACAAUCGUCUUCAUUUUGCAUCCAAAAUAAGUCAUAAGGAGACCAUACUGCAAAUGCAAUCUGAAGAUAUGCUUCAGCAAAUGAAGAUGAGAUUCGAUGCUCACUGAGCUGAUAACGGAGGUUCUUGGCAUCCACGACCUGUUACAGAAAUUGAUGAAUAAACCUUUGCUACUAACAUAAUAAAUAUAAAAUCACAUAGCUUUCUGGAAAAAGAACUUAACAAGCUCAGCUAGUAUUUAAAACACAGAAAACAGUGGAACCGACAGAACCUAACUAACAUACCAUGUGCAUCUACACUUAGUACAGCUAAGUAAGCAUUUAGCAAGACAAGUUCUAAACUUCAAAUGGUGCUCCAAUACAUAAUAUUAUAACUCAAAAUCCCAUAACCAAAUUGCUAGAACUUUAAUACAACACUGGCAUGUAACGCAUCCAAUAUUAAAACUAACACAAAACUCAGCAACAAACUAGAUAAACGAAUCAGAACUCACAGUGAUACUUGAAUCAAGCUUGACAGAUGAUUCUAGAUUUUCAUCCAACUCACAGUCUUCGCAACCAGUAGUCUCCAGCAACAUACGAUCAAGUCUACAACCAAAGAAAACCAAAAACCCACGUCUCAAAUUUCAUCAUAAUCACAAUAAAAAAUAAUAAAUUUCAAUGAAACAUACAAAUUUCAAUAUAGUUUUAAAAAAACUUUCUUUUGGGAACAAGUUGCUCCAAUGCCUGCACCAAACUGUGCUUAACAGUGCAACAAAUACCUUUUGCUAACUCCACCCACUCUUCGACAAGCGCACCGCCAUCUCCUUGGUUAAUCAUCGCUCUCUCCACGCCAAUUUCCUCACCGAAAUCGUUUAGUAUCACAGCAAUUUUCUUCCCGUGUUGGGAUUUCAAUAUAUGAUUAACCAGCUGAUUAACCCAAUUCAAAAACCAACAAAAACACACUCAAAGCUCUACUCUUUUCCCGAAAAAUGGAAAAAUAUAGCAAAAAAAGAAAUGAGCUUACGGUGGAUUUUCCGGCGCCGAGGUAGCCGGUGAUGACGGUGACACAGACCAACACGUCGUCGUCUUUGUGACUAGAUGAAUUGGGUUGCUGCUGAGAGUAGGGUCCCAGGGGUUGGUCGAUUUCAAUGGCGAGAGGUGGAGCUUCUUCAUCGUCUUCCAUUUCCUUUCCAAUCCCGGGAAAUUCACAGGUUUAGGAUCCACCUUAGUUUGAACUUGAAUUAUGCUGACCCACUGGGCCCAUCGGGGUCAUGAUCUUAGUUUGGGCCUUCAUGAGUAGACGUUCUCCAUUUCUAUCUUCUAUGGGUUUUCUUGUUGGGCUUCAGCCCACCUCAAAUUUAAAAAAUUGUACAAUAAAAAGUUACUAACACUACGGUCUUAUGGUAUUCUUAUAUAAGUGUGAGAUCAAAUUCGACUUACCCUGAUAAGUUCAAUAAUACAUGGUGUAUAGUGUAGUUUAGCCUAAAUAUUCUCCGAUAUCAUUUUUUUUAAACAUUAGCCCACGUAUCAAAUAUUAAUUUGAACAAAUACUACACUUGACCUCAGCGAAAAAGCCGAGAAAGGUAUUAUAUGCCAAUAUUUUUUAAUUUUUUUAGAAAUAAGCAUACAUUUCUACAGUAUCACCAUAUGCUGAAUGUAAUUAUAAGAUUUAAAGAUUUUUUUUUUUUUUUUUGAGAAAUUCUUCUUCAAGUUGAUUUCAUUGAACCAGUCUCUCUAGGUGUAUGGGCUAAUUGGUUUAAUAAGUAAAACCAAAUAAACUCACACACAAAGCAAUAUCAUACUUUAAACUAAUCUAAAUUGGGAUGAGAUACUUGAAACCGAGUGAGAGUCCAUGUAUGCAAAAAUCAUGUAGCAUUAGAUUUACAUUAUGGUCCCUGUUUGGUUCAGAUAAUUACUUGAUGGGCGGAGUUACUCCGCCGGUCUAUGAGGAUGAGGAGGACAAUGCUUGUUCGGAAAACAAGUAGAGAGAGCGGAGAUGGUGAGGCCUUUGCAUUGGUUCAACAGUUGGGGUGGCGAACAAGAACAUUAUAAUCUAUAGAUUUGCAUAAACUUAAAGCCAAACUAAACUACUAUUUUUUUGUCACGAAAUCAUAUUGCCUUAAAUUAAAGGAAAAUUAAUGAAAAUGACUUGAAAACUUUCAGUUUUAACGUAAGAACAAAAUAAAGGGUAAAGUGAAUAGUACCAUGAUUGACUUUUUAGUGUAAAAAUAUGAUUUUUCGUUAAAGUAAAUAGUACCGGGAGCUUUUCGUUAAAGUUCCCAAAUUAAUUUACUUGCUCAUAUGGUUAAAACAAAUUGCAUUGUUUUGAAUUCAUCAUUCUGAAUUAACUUUAGACUCAUUUUGAAGUGCUUUUAAAAUUACUGAAAAUACUUUUAGAGAAAAUAUUUUCGGGUUCCAAAAACGUUUGAAGUGCUUCUUAUAAUUAGUGCUUUAAGUACUUUUCCAGAAUUAUUUGUAUUUUUACUAAUGAUUGAUUUCAAAAAUAUUUUCACUAAAAACGUCAUUUUAAAAAGUACUUUCAAAUGAGCUUUUUAAUUCCUAAUUAAGGAACACACUUGACCAAACAAUUUCCUAAUUAAGGAACAAAUUACAUGAUAGUUUCUAAUCAAAUUAUUCAAUACUUGUUUAAUUGUAAACAAACAACUAUCUUCCUUAGAUUAUAGUCCAUAUUUUAUGGAAGAGUAUUGUUUUUAUUUUUUAUUUAUAUACACAAACGAUACUGAAGGAGCAGGAAUUCGAACUCGAAACUUAAAGCAUCUUCCAAAUGUUUACAUAUAUUUCUCACCUAUUUUAUAUCCAAAUGAUGUGAGAUACAGUUUGUCAUUGGUUGGCGACGAUUAAACCCACUUUAGACCGAAAUACCAAAGGUAUCCAAUAUGCGGAGUUAAAUAUGCAUGUCAUAGCUGACUAAUGAAGAUUAAUCAAAAGCAGCCACAAUACUACAACAAUAAAAAACAAUCAAGCGUUAUCUCAUUAAGUAGGGUCGGCUGUAUAAAUUUUAGAAUUUUAUUGUACUCGGUUUUAUGCUAAGUCUUUCGUUACUUUAAAUACUCAAUAUCUUUUCUUGUAGUCUCUUUCAAAGUCUUCUUAGGUUUUUCUUUAUCCCUUUUGCCUCCGUUUCAUAGUCGCAUAUUCUAACUAAAACAUCUUCUCUCAUCUUAUUUUCAACUACGGCCACUUCUACUUUACCUCAGAUAUCUUCAUUCUUAAUUCUAUCAUUUCUUGUGUGUCCAUAUAUCUAACGAAGCAUUAUCAUUUCUGCUGCUAUACUCAUUUUUUGCACGCGUUACUUUUUAUCAACUAACAUUUUGUGCCAUAAAGCAACGAUGAUCUUAUUGUCAUCCUAUAAAAACAGACACAAUAUUAAACAUUAUAAAUCAAUGUCAUCAUAUGUAGAUGUGGCCGUAUUCGGUUAGGUAAAUGCCAUAAAAGGGUAGAACAAGUUUCCAACAUUUCCAUGGGCACACAUGCUUUAACCGUAAAGAAAUUGCAUCUUGCUGUGAAUAAAACAGGUUAGUCAGUUUAUCGUAUGUCACGCAAACAAUAUGCCAAUUUUGUUUGCUUGUUCAGUUAAAAACUUAAAAAAAAAGGACCUACCAUCAGUACACCCUUCAUAUUUUGGUAUGUAGUGACAUAAGAGCAGCUCUAGCGGGAGCGACUACGUGAGGGACAGGCUGCGGAACAGGGCCUGAUUGUCCGAGGGAAGAAGUCUAGCGUUGGCUGGCGAGCGAGCCCGAGCAGGCCCGAGCUCCAAGCCCGUGGAUUCGUGCUGGCCCGAGCGCCUGAAGGCUGUCUGACGUGGGCUGACGUCAGACGCCUACUGAGUGAAUCGGAGGGCCACUUGACGACUGUACAACUUCCUGAACAUCGUCGUCGUCGGCGUCCUCCUCCUCUUCAUCUAUGCUGUCGUCGGAUUAGGACUCGGACUCGGACUCGAACUGCGACUCGUACAGCUCCAAUUGCUCGGCGGUCAAAGGCUUAACUUCGUUUUCCUCCACAACUUCCUUCAUAGCCUUCAUCCUUUCAAAGCUCACACAAAUUUGUAUAAAUAAAUAAAAUAUUUUAUAAAUAAAAUUAUUUUAUAAAUAGAAUUAGGAUUGGAUUUGGGAAAGUGAAUGAGAUGGAGGGAGGGAGGGAUGGGAGAGGAGCUGCCAAUUGGGAUUGGAUUACAAAUAAAAUUAUUUUAUAAAUAAAUAAAAUACUAAUAUUUUAUUGUCAAUUGCCAAGGCUAUUCAAGUGCAACGGUGGAGAUCCAAAAGACGAUUACUGUUCAUUAAAGGCAUUACUGUUCACUAGGUGGAUUAAAUAGUGAAUAGUCUGGGGGGAGGGCUCCUAUGCUGGAAGUGCUCUAACAGUGACAAAAAAUUAAGGUUUUUAAGUUAAAAUAGUCUUUAAAAUUGACAUAAACUUUUCACUUUGGUCAUUCAGAUUUGAAAUCGAUAAAAGUGGUCCAUGAGUUUGUUCACCAUCAAUCAUUUUAAUUAUUCUGUAAAAAGUCUCCAUUAAAUAAGGAUAAGAUAAAAAUACCCUCACUUUUUGCCAAAUUAUUUUGGACCAUUAUUUAUUAAAUUAAGGGUAUUUUUGUCAUUUUAGCUCUUGUUUAACAAAAUUUUCAUAGAAUUACCAAAUGAUUGAUGGUGGCAAACUUAAAGAUCAUUCCUAUUAAUUUCAACUCUCAAGAACCAAAAUAAGGAGGUGUAUAACAAUCUCAAUGAUCAUUUUAGCUAAAAGCCAAAAAUUAAUUAUUAAUUCUUUUUGAAUAUGACUAGUUAUGUUAUUAUAUCGUAAUAAUGUUAGAUAAAACACAUUUUUUAUUACAUUACAUUUGAAUGUGGUAAAUCAGUAACUGACAGGACAUAUGUACAUCACUUGUGACACCGUGUGUGAAAAACACAUGGCAUGUGCAGACAUAAUUGGUGUUUUUUGCAGAUAGCACUUCACGUAUUUUUAAAACCCAGAAACAUUUUUUCAAAAAACGAUUUCAAUCGUCACUUAGUACUACGGUUUAGUAGUAUUCUUCUUCACUUUUAAGUGAUAGGUCUAAGGUUACAUUUUUGCCAAAGGCAAAUUUAAACCACAUUAUUGAUAGCUCAUUGUGAGGCUAAUCCCAUCUCAUCCCCCUUAGUAUAGAAUAAAGGGAAAUUUGGAAAACUAACCAAAUUUUGGACCCUAAAUAGAAUUCUAGCCACUUUUUUAAAUUUAUGAUAAUUAUAACAAAAAAUUGAUAUGAAAGUACUAAUACACCCUUCAAAUAAAGUUUUCUCAAAAAAACAAAAAAAAAUAAAAAAUUGUCAUCCAUGGAAAUUAAACAAAGCAAGAUUCAAUUAAGAUAAGGAGAUUCGAAGUAGAAUUGAAUAAGUUCAAAGCCACAUGUGCUCCUUGAAGUUCCUUAGACAACCCAAAACCCCAAUUCAAUCAUAGAAGAAAACAAAAUCCCAAGUUCAACCUUAGGAGAAAAUGAGAGAAAGAGAUAGGGACCAUCGCAUUUUGGGCUUUUCACCAACGAUUUGGUUCUGGAGCCGAUCUUAGAAGUGGAGGUCCCAAUUGAAGGGCUGAGAUGUUGAGGAAGAGUAGCAGAGAAAUUGGAGAGCAGAGCAGGAAGCUGACCGAGACUGAGAGUGAGAGUUGUCUUCAUGUGGAGGAAGUCGAAAUUUUUUUGGGAGUUUGGAACAAAAUGAAGGUUGUGUGUGAGAGUAUAAAAGAGGAAGAAAGAGGGAUCGUGCUGCACGCCAUGGCUGGCUAUGCUUGGGUUGGGAUGUGAUGGGUUGGGUUUCUAUGGUUUUGGAUUAUCGUCUAUACUGUAGAAAGGACAAAGAUGGUGGUAAAAGACAGCCGAGCCUUUUGUUUUUUGUUUUGUUUUUUAGGAAACUUUAUUUUAAGGGUGUAUUAGUAUUUUCAUAUCAACUUGUGGUUAUAAUUAUUAAAAAUUUAAAAUGGUGGUUAGAAUUCUAUUUAGGGUCCGAAAUUUGGUUAUUUUUCCAAAUUCCCUAAUCUAUAGAUAAUAUCAUUUAUUAAAAAAAAAAAAGCUUUCAAUCAUUGUCAAAACAUUUCGUACAUUUCCAGGAAUGCCAAGCGUGACCAUAAAACACACUAUAUUCCAAAAACAAAGGGCUGUAAAACAAUCCACUACAGUCCAGGAUGACUGAUAAAAGCAAAGGCAAUGUAAAAUGAAUCAAUUUGCAAUUUGAAAUAAUCCUCAUGGACUGGAUACACAAAUACAUUUAUGAUAUGAAUAUACAUACACAUAUAUAUUAUAUAUAUGCACCUCUCUCUCUCUCUCUCUCUCUCUCCCUCUCUCUCUCUCCCUCCCGCCGGUAGCGCGCCGCCACUUUUGGUGGUGACCAGACCACCACCCACUGCACUACGUUUUUUAAUGCCUUAUCGAACUCAACCACCCAUUUUUUACGUUAUCUGUCUCUCACUGCAAAUAUACUCACCACUAUAAAUACUCUUCCCUUAUUCCCUCACGCAUUUCUACAAAUUCCUCCCCCGUAGUUUUCGUUAAUCUCUCUCUAAUUAAGCAGGGAUUAGAAGCUAAUCUCUUUCUUAAUAUCUCCGCCGCCGUUGAGAAGUGAUGGGGUCGGAAAGAGGAGGCCUAGCUUUAGUCGUCACAGCAUUUCUAUUGGCUGUUGGGUUUCCAACAUGUUUGUCGGAUUCAGAUAUCAACAGGGGUAGCUUUCCCAAAGGUUUUGUUUUCGGAACUGCGUCUUCUGCUUUCCAGGUUCGUUUUUUCAACUGACUCUUUUACCCUUUUGAUUAACCUGGUGGUUAAAGAUCACUAAUUACUCAUUAUUCUCGUGAUUAUAAUUUUCUGUUUUUUAGUGUUUGGGUUCCAGCAGUCAGUGAUUAAUUUCUGGGAUUUGCAUUUGCAUCAUAUACUCUGAGUUUUGAUGUUUUUCUCGCUCCGUUCCUCUUAAAACUUAACUAGUAACUGGAAGCUAGGUGCGACACUGCGAAUGCAGAUAGCUCACUUGAUUAAAAGUAUUCACGCCCACUUGCAUUUGAGCGCCCGAGCACUUAAGAUUCCGAGUUUGACUCAUCGUUGCAAAUAAUGCAUGUUUGAAACAAAAUUGUAGUUGUAGUUUUUGCAAGUCAAUGUAUCUGCAGAUUCACAGUAAUCACGUGAAGAUAGAAUGUCAUGGUGAUGUAAUUGCUGGAGCAUAGGGGCUUUUCCGGUUUUUCAAUUUUAUUGCUAAAUAAAUCCACUUAAAAGUAGGAUGAAUUUUUUUGCCAAAUUACCAUACCAAAGUUAUACUAGAAAAUUUGUACCAUUGGUAAUGGUACAAUAUUUGUGCCGUACCAUAUAUUUUUGGUACACUAAUGGUAAACCAUUACAAGUGGUAUAUCGUACAGUACCGUACCAUUACUAUUAAUAUUAUAUUAUUUGUUUAUAUAUAAUUAGGUAUUAUUAUCAUUAUAUAUGCACUUAUAUUUUUUUCCUAAUCAUUUAUCCAAUCAUCUUACCCUCUAACAUCUACUCUCCCAAAUUCUCAAUAAAAAAACCUAAGCUUUCUUGCGCUACAACUCUUCGUCUUUUCACUCAUCUAGCCACCGACUUCAUUUAUGUUGCUCCAGUUCCAGCAACUCUCUCUCUCUCCGGAGUCCAUCUCAUCUUCUCCUUCAUCAAAUUGGGAUGUCUUUCUCUUUGACUUUGUCUAUCAAGUUAAUUUUUGUACAAUUUUAAAGAAUGUAGAAAUGAAAUUUAAGAAUCUUUGUACUAUUUUUUAGAGAUAUUGAGUUAUUUCAGCAAUUCUUCCAUCUAUUUACUUCUUGUUUCUCAAAUAAAUCUCUAUAAAAUUCUCAUAAUUAAAUAAAAAAGUUAAAAAAAAAACCCAAAGGGAGUGGCCAAAACACAUUUGUGCCUUGAAUUGGAUUGGAAAAAAAAAAAAUCAAAUUUUGGCCCAAAAUGAUGGCCCAAAACAAAGUGGUACCAUAUCAACCAAACUAUUUGACAUGCCAAAAUUCGGUAUACCGAAAAUUUGGUAUGGUAAUGAUAAUAGAUUUUGUCAUACCAAAAGUUUGGUAUGGUGAUUGGUACAUAGGUUUUGGUAUAGUAAUUGUACCAAUACCACCCCUACUUAAAAGGCAAAAAGUACUUCAGCUCACAUCAAAAUGACGGUUGAGGGCCGGAGUCCACAAAGUCAUGCAAUCGAGAAAACAGGGUCAUUAUCGGAAUUCCAGUUCAUUUUCGGGAGUUUUUCAAUUUUUGGCCUCAAAAAGGACCACUACCUAUUACGAGGUAGAGAGUAGCUUGACUGGCUCUUAACAUUGAAGAAGAGUUCCUCCUUAGUUUAGCUAGUGUUGGAUUUUUAAAAGGGAAACUUUGGAUGCGGUCCCUAAUUAUGAAUAUUCUUUGACUAAAACCUUAUUGGUUUUCAAUUUUUGAUCAAAAUCCCUGAAAUUAAUGUGAUAAUUUAUUUCUAUGUACGUUACUAUAUUUUUUAAAUUAAAAUUUUAUAUUUAUAUUUGUUUAUAUUAAUGAGAUUUUAAAUAAAAAAACCAUAAUUUGUGGGAUUAAAAAUAUUAAAAUAUAAAUAUACUAUUGUGUGUGUGUGUAUAUAAAUAUGGGUACAUUCAUCAAAAUUAACCAAAAAAUUAUUGUAUCAAAAUAUGAGUACAUUCUUCAAAAUAAAAAAAAAAAAGAAAGAAAGAGAUAUUAGGCUUAAUAAUAUUAGUAAUUUUUUUCGAUUAAACUUAACAUGGAUACAUUCUCAAAUCAAAGAAAAAAGAAUGUACCCAUAUAUGUUUAAAAAUGGAUUAGAAAAAAAUUGAAUAGAUUUUAUAUAUAUAAAAGUGGUACAUUUUACAUAUAACAAAUUGGUAUAUUUAAAAAUGAGUACAUUUUAAGAUUAAAAAUUUGAAAAAAAAUUACAUGAAUGGGUACAUAUAAUUAGCAUGGGUACAUUUAGCAAAAAUAAAAAUGGGUACAAAUAAAUAAAAAAAUAUGGGUACAAAUACAAAUAAAACUUUUAAAAAUAUGGGCACAAAAAGAAAUUAAUAUAUGGGUACAAAUUAAAACUAAAAAGAAAAUUGGUACAAAUUAAAAAUGGGUACAAACUAAAAAUAAAAAUAUAUGAUAAAAAUAUACUAAUGAUAACAUUUUUAACAUUAAAUGAAUAUAUUUAGAAAUAAAAAAUAUUUUAUUAUUGAAAUAAUUAAUGAUGUUAUUAAUACCAAGGACCUUGAUCAAAAAUUGAAAAAGAAUAAGGUUUUAAUCAAUGGAGUAGCAAAAGUAAGGAUGGAACCUAAUUUCUCAUUUUUAAAAUGUUGUGCUUAUAAUCAAAACUGUUUAUAUUAUAAAUAAUUUUUUAUGGAUUUUUUUAAGGAAAAAAAUGAAAUUUAAAGUCAUUCAAUCAAUCAAUGACAGUAAAUAAAUAAAUAUUUUAUAAUGAUUUUAUCAAAUUUGUCCAUUUAUUUGUGCAUAAGUAAUUUAUAAUAUUAAUGAUUCUGAUUACAAUUUCGUAAUUCCGUGACAAAGUAAAUUGAGAAAGAACUUUUCUUCUUCAGAACCUUUCUUCAACGAGCCAAGUUAAUUCCUUCACGACAUUUGCAAACCAGCCUUCUGAUGUUUAUAAAUUUUCAUUUAUAUAGGGACCACGAAAACAUUCAGAAUUUGUCUUUCAUCAACCAGAUAUUGUUUUAUUUCGUAAUUUAUUUAAAAUUGUAUUAAUAUCAAUUGUACUUUUGAUAUGAUACACAAUUAUUUGAGGAAUAUGGUUAUAAAAAAACAAGUUAUUUACAUGUUUUACCUUCUGAUUUUUGUCAGUACGAAGGUGCAGUUAAAGAGGACGGAAGGGGGCCUUCUAUCUGGGACACCUUUUCACAUACUUUUGGUAAUAAUUUGUUAAUUUAUGGUCAAUCUUUUGUUUUACUUCUAAAUUAUUUUUUACCAGUACUUUGGAACAUUUAUCAACUACACAGUAUCUCACUCAUCACAUGAUCAUUAAAUAAGAAGGAAGACACUCGUAUAUAUAUUUCAUGUGACACUCAAAUCGUCCAUGUUUUAGGAAGCAAUUCAAAAUAUAUAACACUUAAUGCAUACGGAUAAUUUGCCUUGUGCUACAGGUAAAAUAGCCGAUUCCAGUAAUGCAGAUGUUGCUGUAGAUGAGUAUCACCGUUAUAAGGCAAGUCUGGUACUCAAAACUACCCUUUGCAUUUUCUUUGUUAAAUCGAGCAAAUGUUAAGUUAGUUGCAAGCAGGAGGAUGUGCAACGUAUGAAGGAUAUGGGAAUGGAUGCUUACAGAUUUUCGAUAUCCUGGACUCGGAUUUUCCCCAGUAAGUUCUAUUAGUUCUAUGAGUUCAUAUUUACUUCACAUACAAGAUUAGUUCAUCAAAUUUUAACUGCGAGCUUUUCGUAUAUCAGAUGGAACCGGACACAUUAAUCAGGCGGGUGUUGAUUACUACAAUCGUCUCAUCGAUGCAUUGCUAGCCAAAGGUGCCAUACAUUUUCAUUUUUCUCCAGAAUAUUGUAUGUACUUCCGACUUUUGCAUUAAGCUCCGUCACAAUUGUUAAUGGCAACGGAGAAAUUUGGCAUCGAACGUUUAUUUAUCAGGAUGGAAUCAUGGACUGAACUAUGAGAUUCUGUAUAUGCAGGAAUUGAACCGUAUGUGACCCUCUAUCACUGGGACCUCCCUCAAGCAUUGGAAGACAAAUACAGCGGGUGGCUCAACCCUCAAGUCAUGUAAUCUCAACGUUGACAGUUUUGUGCCUAUAAUUUCCGUAAGUUUGAUUAACGAUGAGUUUUGGAUUCGAGUGAUUCAUAUGGCCUUAGUCUAUUGCAGAAAGGACUUUGCAACAUAUGCGGACGCAUGCUUUCAAAAUUUUGGUGACAGGGUGAAGCACUGGAUCACAUUCAACGAGCCACAUACAUUUUCUAUACAAGGAUAUGAUGUAGGGCUCGAGGCACCGGGAAGGUGCUCUAUCCCCCUUUUCCUUUUCUGCAGGGCAGGAAACUCGGCAACUGAGCCUUACAUGGUUGCUCACAAUGUCAUCCUGUCUCAUGGAACCGCGGCUGAUAUUUACCGGAGAAAGUACAAGGUAAGAAUGAUGGAAUGGAGAAAUAUUCAUGCGCGUAACUAUUAACAACAGAAGUUGAUUAAUGAUACUACUUGGUGUCUUCGCAGUCAAAACAGCGUGGAUCGGUUGGGGCAUCAUUUGAUGUUAUCUGGUAUGAAUCAGCAACAAACUCGACAGCAGACGUCAUUGCAACUAAAAUAGCCCAAGAUUUUCAGCUUGGCUGGUAAUCACAAAUUUGAUUUUAUUACUUAGUUAUAUUUGACUAGGAACUGCGUUAUAAUUUGUGUAAUCACUAUGUUGGAACGGCAGGUUUCUUGAUCCAUUUAUGUUUGGGGAUUAUCCAAGCUCUAUGAGAAGUAGGGUUGGAAGUCGGCUGCCAACCUUUUCCAAAUCCGAGUCUGCUCUAAUUAAAGGGUCCUUGGAUUUUGUGGGCAUUAAUCACUACACUACCUUCUAUGGAAGCAACGAUACCGCUGAUAUAAUUGGACAUCUACUCAAUGACAGCCUUGCAGACUCUGGUGCCAUUACUCUUCGUAAGUACUCACAUUGAACGCGCUGCAUAUUCCUCUUAACAGUUCUAUGUUCCAGUUAUUCCAUAAGUUGUCGGUCGAAUCACCAAUUCAGAGAUUAAAGACCAACUUAUUAGAGUUCCGUAACUUGUUAUCAUUUAAAUUUCCGUUGUUAGCUGAAGAUAUCUUUUCUUUUUCCAUGUUUUCAGCAUUCAAAGACGGAAAACCUAUUGGCGAUAGGGUAUGUAGUGUAGUUAAACUCUCAUAAAUUACUGCAAUUUUUACUUGAUCCGACAUGAAAGCUUGUGUGAAAUUGCAGGCGAAUUCUAUAUGGUUAUACAUAGUGCCAGAGGGGAUGAGAAAAUUAAUGAACUACAUUAAGAAAAAGUACGGCAAUCCUCUAGUGAUUAUCACUGAAAAUGGUAAUGUUUCGAGUUCCAAAUAGAAGGGAUGCGACGUCCAAAAGUUCUUCAUGUUCACGGGACAUUUCAUGAGUUAAACUUGUUGGUUUCAUUAUUUCCACAGGCAUGGAUGACCCGAAUAGCCCAUUCAUUUCUCUCAAGGAUGCUCUAAAGGAUACUAAAAGGAUUAAAUACCACCAUGACUAUCUUAAGAAUUUGCUAGCUUCGAUCAAGUAUUAACCAUCUUUAAUUAAUCCGCUAGCUAUGAAUCUACUUUUUCUUGUCCAUAUUUUGUGGUGUAAAAGCUGAUAUCAUUCUGUCUUCGUUGAAUGCAGAGAAGACGGCUGCAAUGUGAAAGGCUAUUUUGCUUGGUCUCUGCUGGAUAAUUGGGAAUGGGCGGCUGGAUACACUUCUCGAUUUGGUCUCUAUUUUGUGGAUUAUAAGGACAAGCUCAAGAGAUACCCAAAGGACUCCGUUCAAUGGUUCACGAAAUUCUUGAAUUCUACUCAAACAAGGCAAUGAUCAUCUGACGUUGUGAAUCUGAAGUCCUGCACUUGCACCCCAACUCAUCGAGUACACGAGGGUUGUUGCAGUUCAUUUUUCUUUGGGAUCGAGCAAGCCAUCAUAACAGUGUUCAGAUCAUAGUUUGUGGGCAGACGUUUGGAACAAAAAUAGCUUAUGAUUCUAUGAAAAGAAAAAUAUGAUUUGAAAUCACUAGCUUUUGAUUUAUUUUUGCAAUCAAUAUAUUGUUACACCAGUAAUGCUAUUCUUACCAUAUUUCCUUAUGUGGUAUCUGAUGUGGACAAUCACAUCAUUUAAAUUAAUCAGAAUUUAAUUUAAAUUAAAAAACAUUUAAUAAACCAAUAAUUAAAAAAAAAAAAGCUGGAAUUAAAUGGUGAUUGUGGCAAACGAGGAGGCUUCUCCAUCAUUCCCCGUUCAAUCCUGCUUCUUCUCCCACGCCAGUUCUUUCACGGCAGCCAGUUGAAGAUUGUUACAGACCUAAAGUGGGAGAACAUGUGCACACAUCACAUCGGCAUCAUAGGAUGGCAAAAAUGUGGGAGAACAUGUGCACACAUCACGGCAGCCAGUUGAAGAUUGUUACAGACCUAAAGUCCCUAGACAUUGCCCAUACUCCGAUGGAAACAACCAAGCACCACCAUGACCGCACUGUCCAGCUUUGGAAUGUUCUCCAAGAAUGGCAUCCUCACUUUGAAAAGCUCAUGAUUCAUCAAAAACAAUACAUCCAAGCUCUUAAUAGUUGGUUGAAGCUAAAUCUCAUACCUAUCGAGAGCAGCUUAAAACAGAAAAUCUCAUCCCCGCCAAGAGUUCAGCGUCCACCAAUCCAAGCUCUCCUCCAUUCAUGGCACGAUUCUCUUGAAAAGCUUUCUGAUGAACUCGCAAAAUGUGCAAUAUCGUCCUUUGCGGCUGUGAUAAAGACCAUCAUACUGUUGGAAAAUUAGUUAUUAGUUUAUGGUUUUCUUUUGGGAUACUAUUGGAAAAUUAGUUAUUAGUUUAUGGUUUUCUUUUGGGACAAGGAUGUUAGAAUUUUCUAUAUCCUUUAAGGGUUAGGAUUUAGGGUUUAUUAGAGUUUUCUAUAUCCUUUAAGGAUUAGGAUUGUGCUUUAGUUUCUAUAUCCUUUAAGGAUUAGGGUUUGCUUUAGUUUUCACUAUAUAUAAUAAUGCUUGUAUUAGUUAGUUUUAACAAGUCAGUCACGAUGUAGUCUCUUGGGAUUAUGUAGCCAUUUUGGCAUUCAAUUUGUUUAAUAAUGUUCUUAUUAUUUUGUAAUCUUGUUUGUUGCGCACUCUGAUAUUUCAUCAGGAGGAAGGGGGAAUGAGAAGCUCACCAGAGACACUGUAUCCAGGUAAGGGAUAAGUCACUUGGGAGUCUCAAAACUCGCCUGCCUGAGAUCUUCCGUACCAUGACAGACUACGCUAAUGCGUGUUCCAUUACUUCAUCUGCUUCCAUCCAUGGCGAGGAGGCUAAAAACAAAAUGCCGUGAAAGAACUAGCGUGGAACAAGAAACGGGUGAAGCAGGCAAAGGGAAAGAAGGAGAAGACUCUCGUAUGUCACAAUCACCAUUUAAUUCCGGUUUUUUUAAUUAUUGGUUUAUUAAAUGGUUUUUAAUUUAAAUUAAAUUCUGAUUAAUUUAAAUGAUGUGGUUGUUCACAUCAGCUGCAACAUAAGAUGGUAUAUAGAGGCAAGCAAACUCAGGAAUGAGUGUUCGAUUCCUUUCUCUUGGGAGUCAAGCAACUCAUUUGGUAAUCAAACUGGCGCUGAAGGCAAUCAAACUCAGAUUCGGAUUAUAUUUGGUUGAUUACAAAGACAAUCUCAAGAGAUACCCUAAGGAGUCUGCUCUAUGGUUCAAGAACUUCUUGGCUUCUUCUACUUGAACAAGGAGGUGAUGAACUGAUGCUCCUUACGUUCUGCGAAAUUCUGCAUAUAAAUUACACCAGAAGGAUUCAUCAAAUGCACACAAGGGUUGUUUUGAUUCAUGUUCUUGUCGCGUCGAGGAAGCGAUCAUAAUCCAAUGUUCAAGCUAUCAAAACUGUUUGCGCUCCAACACUUGACCCCAAUUGACAGUCAACUAGUACCUUAGGUCCUUAGAUUGAGAAAGACUUGUCAAGAGUUUUUGAUCACGUAAUUCGUUGGACACUUCUCACAAAAGUAUAAAAACACUUGUAUCUUUAUCCCACCUAACUCUAUGUUAGAGUUGUCUUAAAUUAUAAGCCAAAAGUAAACCAUUAGACUUGGUUUUAGGUCCUUCAAUAGAAAAACUUGUGUAGAAUCUCCGAUCUUUCUAGGGCACUUCUCACAAAAGCAUAAAAUUAAUUGUAUUUUAUUUUGGUCCUGCACUCAACUCUAUCUUAGUUCCACUUAUAAGUUAUCCUAAUCAACCAGUCAUACCUAAGUUUAAACAUAGGUCAAUUAUGUUCUGCAUAAUCUUCGUGUUGACCAGGAAUAACUUAUAGUUCUCCCCCUCCAUGAUAAGGAUUGCGUAGCCAAAAUCUAACCCAUUGAAUAUGCCAAUUGGCCUAACCAUGAACAAGGGCGGCAAAAUAUGACACGUCCAUCGCUUCGAUCCUAGUUAAGUUGAUUUCACUAGUACUAUUCUAUUGUCAUUCUUCCAACCAAUCACGGUUUAAUAUAUUUCAUUUGCAUGGAAGAGGAUCCUCUCUCUGGAUUCACUUUGUGGGGAUCCUAUCCUAGCCGUUCAUUGUAUAUUGUACGGUCAGUUUUUGUCAGGUACUAUUUGUGUUUAGAUUUAAAUAAAAAAAAGUCAAAUAAUUUUUUACUACACAAUACACAAUGAAUAGUUCAGAUGUGAGGAUUUUUAGGAUUCCGAUGGAAUCCAAAUCCCAUUCGCAUGUACAUGUCAAAUUGUGCUGAAAAUAAUAAUAACGAGUCUUCCAACGUGAACUAGACCACAAAAACGGGAACUGAUGAGCCAAUUGGAUGGAUAGUGUGUUCAGGAGCCGAUUUAGAAUUUGGACCUUGGAAGGUUCCAAUGUUAAAUGUAAAAAUUUCUAGAUAAAAAGAGAACACGAAAUGCAAACUUUUUUUUCUUCAGUUUAUUCACUGAAGCAUUUCUUAGAAUACUUGGUGGGCUUGUUGUCGUCAGCCAAACUAUAUUGCGUUAAUGUCAACAACCGAAACAAAUUUGAUGAGCGAGAUCAAAAGAAUUUGUCGAGAAUUCUCAACACACACUUGAUGGGAACAAAAAAGACCCGUACUAACUAACCAUCAGAAGGUCCUCGAAAAAUAUUCAUAUGUAUAUUUCCGAAACUCCGAGUGAUCUUUAACCACCUUAGUCCCAAACGUAUAUCCGUCCUUGAGUGUGUUCAUCUUCUUGCACUCGAGUUCGAGAAUACUGCGUUGCCGAAAAAUGAUAUUAACAAUUGGGCUGUAUUAAUGUACUUAACGCGCAGCCUGCGAUGGUAUUGUUCGGCCUGGAAAAUGAUUACCCGCCUAAUUCAAUUGAAACCCAUAAAUGGAGGACUAGUUGUUGGCGUAGUAAUUACCCCAAAAUUCCAACAAACAAACUUAAAACACAGUGUGUUUGGGAAUCCUACUCGUAUGACCAAACCGACACCGAAAGGAGUGGACCUAAUUAUUUUACAACAAUUCCUCCUCCUCCUCCUCGUCUCUGUCACUCUCUCAGAAAUUAACACCAAAUGUCCUUCACGUCUAACAUUAAAAAUACCCUCCAAUUAAUUUUCUCCCAUAAAUAUUUGAUGGUUUUUAUUUGGUGUAAUAAAUAUUUGAUAUUUCUUUUAAUAAAUUAAUAUUGGUGAAAAUGCAACAGCACGUUUUAUAUAAAUAAAUUAAUUAUUCAUUAAUAAUUUUCCUUCCUAUUCGGAUCUGUACCUACCAGCGAGGGUGAGGACAUGUUGUUUGCAUCGUACUCCAUUAUUUUCUUCUUUUGGUCCUAACUGUUCCAAUGAUUUAAUCAUAUAUAAACGCUUCACUUUCUCUUUUUUUCAUACUUAUUUUUAUAGGUUUAAUAUUUAAUGAAAUUUGACAUUUUAUUUUUGGACUUUUUUAUACAAUGUAUAUUAUGGCUCUAUGUUUUUUUUUGGGAGGAAAAAGAAAGGACCUGUAUCAAAACAACAUGUCGAGAUGUGCUUAAAAUGCAUUCCAUCAAAUAUUUAGUAGGUACAAAAAUGACUUGUACCAAAUAUUCGGAGGGUCUCGCAAGACCUUCACAUAUAUAUACUUGGAUGGUUCUGGGACCACCUUGGUCUCUACUUCCAUCCACCCCUGGUUAUGUGUCUGUUUAAGGUUAUAGGUCUUUAUUUGGACCCCAAGACUGUAAUGUGUUUUGCAUGCACGAUACAAAACUAGCAUGAAAUCCAAUGGUCUUCAGAAUAGUAAAAUAAAAAAUAAAUAAAAAAGCAGAAAAUAACAUUCCAAUGAUAAGUAGUAGUAAAUAAAAUGACAUGGGCCUUACUUUAUUUGAAAUUGCAACGAGAUUAUUUUAAAUUUUUUGUUUAUAUAGAUGACGAGCUUGAUUUUUAAUUAAUUAUUAUUACUAAUAAAUUGUCCGAUUUAGUCCAAAUCACAUAAGUUGACAAUUACUUAUACAUUUUUAAUACAAUUGGAUCCAAAUACAAUAACAAAACAUGUAUGGUAAAAAAGGAAUUGACAAAUCAGCUAAUUUUUUAUGUAUUCAAAUAAUUCCAUUGACGAAAGAAAUAAUAUUUCAUCAAGGUGAUGUUAUCGUAAUUCUAAAUCAAUCAUGUAAACGAGAAAUUUUUCCACAUAUAAGUGUAAUAAAAUAAGUAAAGUUACACAAAAAAUAUAUCGUUAUUUUCACUUAUAUUAUGACAUGAUACGUGAAGUAACGCUUUAAUAUCCGAUGCUUGAAACAUCUCCUCACGAAGACAAACAAGGGGAAACGGUCUGGGGAAGACUGGGUUGACUUUUAACGAUGGGAACUUUCUUUUUACUGCGUGAUAUUUGUUUUUUUUUUUUUGGGUUGGGAAAAUGAAAGGUGAAACGAAAACGUGUUGGGCUUCAGCCCACCUCAAAUUUAAAAAAUUAUACAAUAAAAAGUUACUGACACUAUGCUCUUAUGGUACUCUUAUACAAGUAUGAGGUCAAAUUCAACUGACCCUUAUAAGUUCGAUAAUACAUGGCGUAUUGUUUAGUUUAACCUAAAUAUUCUCCGAUAUCAUUUUUAAACAUUAGCACAUGUAUCCAAUAUUAAUUUGAACAAAUACUACACUUGACAUAAGCCAAAAAGCCGAGAAAGGUAUUAUAUGCCAGUAUUUUUUCUUUUUUUUUUAGAAAUAAGCAUACAUUUCUACAGUAUCACCAUAUGCUGACUAUAAUUAUAAGAUUUAAAGCUUUUUUAUUUUUAUUUUUGAGAAAUUCUUCUUCAAGUUGAUUUCAUUGAAGCAAUCUCUCUAGGUGUAUGGACUAAUUGGUUUAAUGAGUAAAACCAAAUAAACUCACGCACAAAGCAGUAUCAUACUUUAAACUAAUCUAAUUGGGAUGAGAUAUUUGAAACCGAGUGAGAGUCCAUGUAUGCGAAAAUGAUGUAGCAUUAGAUUUACAUUAUGGUCCCUGUUUGGUUCAGAUAAUUACAUGAUGGGCGGAGUUACUCCGCCGGACUAUGAGGAUGAGGAGGACAAUGCUUGUUCGGAAAACAAGUAGAGAGAGUGGAGAUGGUGAGGUAUUUGCAUUGGUUCAACAGUUGGGGUGGCGAACAAGAACAUUAUAGUCUAUAGAUUUGCAUAAACUUAAAGCCAAACUAAACUACUAUUUUUGGUCACGAAAUCAUAUUGCCUUGAAUUAGGAAAACUAAUGAAAAUGGCUUGAAACCUUUGAGUUUUAACAAUAAGGACAAAAUAAAUGAUAAAGUGAAUAGUACCAGAAUUGACUUUUUAAUGUAAAAAUGUGGUUUUUCAUUAAAGUGAAUAAUACCGGGAACUUUUCGUUAAAGUUCCCUUAAAUUAAUUUACUUGCUCUUAUGGUUAAAAUAGAUUGCAUUGUUUCGAAGUUCGAAUCACUUUUGGAUGCAUGAAUUCAUCAUUAUGAAUUAACUUUAGACUCAUUUUGAAGUGCUUUUAAAAUUACUGAAAAUAGUUUUAGAGAAAAUAUUUUUGGGUUCCAAAAACGUUUGAAGUGCUUCUUAUAAUUAGUGUUUUAAGUACUUUCCAAAAAUUUAUUUGUAUUUUUACUAAUGAUUGGUUUCAAAAAUAUUUUCACUAAAAACAUCAUUUUAAAAGCACUUUCAAACGAGCUCAUUAAUUCCUAAUUAAGGAACACACUUGACCAAAUAAUUUCCUAAUUAAGGAACAAAUUACAUGAUAGUUUCUAAUUAAAUUAUUCAAUACUUGUUUAAUUGUAAACAAACAACUAUCUUCCUUAGAUUAUAGUCCAUAUUUUAUGGAAGAGUAUUGUUUGAUUUUUUUUUUACAUACAUAAACGAUACUGAGGGAGCAGGAAUUCGAACUCAAAACUUAAAGCAUAUUCCAAUUGUUUACAUAUAUUUCUCACCUAUUUUAUAUCCAAAUGAUGUGAGGUACAGUUUAUCAUUGGUUGGCGACGGCUAAACCCAUUUUAGACCGAAAUACCAAAGGUAUCCAAUGUUAGAAGUAUAAGAUUGUAAGGCUGUGAUGAUGCCACAUGUAAACAGAGCUGGUCUAUUAUAUUUGUUAGAAGAGUCGGUUGGUUAUGACUAUAAAUACUUAAUCUUGUAAUAGCUUUCUUAUUAAGCAAGGUAUCAAUUCAAUCAUUUUUUCCCUCCAAUUUCUAUGUCUACAGUUCGCUUUCUCUCUCUCUCUACAUUCAUAGAAACUGAGAUACUUGGUUAACAUCCGAUAUGCGGAGUUAAAUAUGUAUGUCAUAGCUGGCUAAUGAAGAUUAAUCAAAAGCAGCCAUAAUACUACAACAACAAAAAACAAUCAAGCGUUAUGUCAUUAAAUAGGGUCGGUUUUAUAAAUCUUAGAACUUUAUUGUACUCGGUUUUGCGCAAAGUCUUCCGUUCUCUCCAAGUAAUUCAUAUAUUUUCUUAUAGUCUCUUUCAAAGUCUUAUUAGGUUUUCCUCUACCCCUUUUGCCUUGAGCUUCCGUCUCAUAGUUGCAUCUUAUAACUAAAUCAUCUUAACCGAUUUUCUCUCAUUUUAUUUUCAACUGCGGACACUUUUACUUUUCCUCUGAUGUCUUCAUUCUUAAUUCUAUCAUUUUUCACGUGUACACAUAUCCAACGAACCAUUAUCAUUUCUACUACACUCAUUUUUGCACAUGUUACUUUUUAACCAACUAACAUUUCAUACCAUAAAAACAACAAUGAUCUUAUUAUUGUCCUAUAAAAACGGUCACAACAUUAAACAUUAUAAAUCAAUGUCAUCAUAUGUCGGUGUAUAUGGGUUAGGUAAAGGCCAUAAAAGGGUUCCAUGGGCACACAUGCUUUAACCGUAAAGAAAUUACAUCUUGCCGUGAAUAAAACUGGUUGGUCAGUUUAUCGUAUGUCAGGCAAACAAUAUACCAAAUUUGUUUGCUUGUUCAGUUAAAAACUUAAAAAAUGGACUUACCAUCAGUACACCCAUCAUAUUUUGGUAUGGAGUGAGAUAAAGGUGACAAAAAAUUAAGGUUUUUAAGUCAAAAUAGUUUUUAAAAUUGAUAUAAACUCUUCAUUUUAGUUACUGAGAUUUGAAAUCAAUAAAAGUGGUUCAUGAGUUUGUCCAUCAUUAAUCUUUUUAUCAUUCCAUGAAAAAUCUCCAUUAAAUAAGGAUAAGACAAAAAUACCCUCAUCUUUUGCCAAAUUAUUUUGGACCAUUGUUUAUUAGUAUUUUUGUCAUUUUAGCCCUUAUUUAACAAAAUUUUCAUAAAAUGACCAAAUGAUUGAUGGUGGCAAACUCAAAUAUCAUUCCUAUUAAUUUCAAAUUUCAAGAACCAAAAUGAGGAAGUAUAUAACAAUCUCAUGAUCAUUUUAGUUAAAAGUAAAAAAUUAAUUAUUAAUUUUGCACCAUACUUACUGAAUAAGACCAAUUAUGUUAUUAUUUAUAUCGUAAUAAUGUUAGAUAGAACACAAUUUAUAUUACAUUACAUUUGAAUAUAGUAUAUCAGUAACUGAUAUAGGAUAUAUGUACAUCACUUGUGACAGUGUGUGUGAAAAACACAUAGCAUGUGUAGACAUAACUGAUGUUUUUUGCAUAUAGCACUUCAUGUGUUUUAAAAAACUAGAAACAUUUUCUCUAAAAACUUUUUCGAUCGCCACUUAGUACUACAGUCUAGUAGUAUUUUUUUUCACUUGUAAGUGAUAAGUCUAAUAUUUGAUUCUUUUCAAAUGCAAAUUUAAACCACAUUAUUGUUAGUUCAUUGUGAGGUUAAGUCCAUCUCAUCUCUCUAGUAUAGAUAAUAUUGUUUGUUCAAAAAAAUAAAAAUAAAAUAACGGUCUCAAUCAUUUUAAAAACAUUUCAUACAUUUCCUACGAGGAAUGCCAAGCCUGACUAUAAAGCACAAUAUAUUCCAAAAACAAAGGAAAGGCUGUAAAACAAUCCACUACAGUCCAGGAUGAUUGAUAAAAGCAAGGGCAAUGCAAAAUGAAUCAAUUUGCAAUUUGAAAUCUGAAUCCUCAUGGACUGGAUACACGAAUACAUUUAUGAUAUGAAUACACACACACACUCACAUAUAUACACAUAUAUAUAUGCACCCACCAUGCUUAUCAUUCUGGUAUGAAAACUUGUGAACUCAGGACUUUGGUUUUUCAUUCCCCCACUGUCCAUUAACACCACGCCUCUCUCUCUCUCUCCCUCCCUCCCUCAGGUUAGCGCGCUCCACUUUUGGUGGUGACCAGACCACCACCCACUGCACUACGUUUUUUAAUGCCUUAUCGAACUCAACCACCCAUUUUUUACGUUAUCUGUCUCUCACUGCAAAUAUACUCACCACUAUAAAUACUCUUCCCUUAUUCCCUCACGCAUUUCUACAAAUUCCUCCCCUGUAGUUUUCGUUAAUCUCUCUCUAAUUAAGCAGGGAUUAGAAGCUAAUCUCUUCUUAAUAUCUCCGCUUCCGCCGUUGAGAAGUGAUGGGGUCGGAAAGAGGAGGCCUAGCUUUGGUCGUCACAGCAUUUCUAUUGGCUGUUGGGUUUCCAAAAUGUUUGUCGGAUUCAGAUAUCAACAGGGGUAGCUUUCCCAAAGGUUUUGUCUUCGGAACUGCGUCUUCUGCUUUCCAGGUUCGUCUUUUUCAACCGACUCUUUUACCCUUUUGAUUAACCUGGUGGUUAAGGUCACUAAUUACUCAUUAUUCUGGUGAUUAUAAUUUUCUGUUUUUUAGUGUUUGGGUUCCAGCAAUCAGUGAAUAAUUUCUGGGAUUUGCAUUUGCAUCAUAUACUCUGAGUUUUGAUGUUUUUCUCGCUCCGUUCCACGUAAAACCUAACUAGUAAUUGUAAGCUAGGUGCAACACUGCGAGUGCAAUAGCUCACUUGAUUAAAAGUAUUCGCGCCCACUCGCAUUUGAGAGCCCGAGCACUUGAGGUUCCGAGUUUGACUCAUCGUUACAAAUAUUGCAUGUUUGAAACAAAAUUGUAGUUGUAGUUUUUGCAAGGUCAUUGCAUCUGCAGAUUCGCAGUAAUCACGUGAAGAUAGAAUGCCAUGGUGAUGUAACUGCUGGAGCAUGGGGCUUUUCCGGUUUUUCAAUUUUAUUGCUAAAUAAACCCACUUAAAAGGCAAAAAGUACUUCAGCUCACGUAUUGAAAUGACGGUUGAGGGCCGGGAGUCCACAAAGUCAUGCAAUCGAGAAAGGAGGGUCAUUACCGGAAUUCCAGUUCAUUUUCGGGGGUUUUCCGGUUUUUGGCCUCAAAAAAGGACCACUACCUAUAACGAUAGAGGUAGAGAGGAGCUUGGCUGGCUCUUAACGUUGAAGAAGAGUUCCUCCUCAAUUUAGCUAGUGUUCGAUUUAUAAAAUAUUAUGCUUAUAGAACUUUCUGUAUUAUAAAUCAUCUUUUGUGGAUUCUCCAAAAAAAAAAAAAAAUUAAAGUCAUUCAAUCAAUCAAUGAUAGUAAAUAGAUAAACAGUUCAUAAUGAUUUUAUUAAAUUUUUCCAUUUGUUUGUGUUUAAAUCAUUUAUAAUAUUAAUGAUUCUGAUUACAAUUACUUAAAUCAAUGACAAAGUAAAUUGAAAAAGAACUUUUCUUCAACAAGCCAAGUUAAUUCCUUUCAUGAUAUUUGCAAACCAGCCUUUGAUUAUAAAUUUUCAUAUAUAUAGGGACCACGAAGACAUUCAGAAUUUGUCUUUCAUCAACCAGAUAUUGUUUUAUUUCAUAAGUUAUUUAAAUUUUAUUAGUACUUUUUAUACGAUACACAAUUAUUUGAGGAAUAUGGUUAUAAAAAAACAAGUUAUUUACAUUUUUUACCUUCUGAUUUUUGUCAGUACGAAGGUGCAGUUAAAGUGGACGGAAGGGGGCCUUCUAUCUGGGACACCUUUUCACAUACUUUUGGUAAUAAUUUGUUAAUUUAUAGUCAAUCUUUUGUUUUACUUCUAAAUUAUUUUUUGCCGUACUUUGGAACAUUUACCAACUUCAAAGUGUCUCACUCAUCACAUAAUCAUUAAAUAAAAAGGGAGACGCUCGUAUAUAUAUUCCAUGUGACACUCAAAUCGUCCAUGUUUUAGGGAGCAAUUCAUAAAUAUAUAACACCUAAUGCAUGCGGAUCAUUUGCCUUGUGCUGCAGGUAAAAUAGCCGAUUCCAGUAAUGCAGAUGUUGCUGUGGAUGAGUAUCACCAUUAUAAGGCAAGUCUAGUACUCAAAACUACCCUUUGCAUUUUCUUUGUUAAAUUGAGCAAAUGUUAGCUUAGUUGCAAGCAGGAGGAUGUGCAACGUAUGAAGGACAUAGGAAUGGAUGCUUACAGAUUUUCAAUAUCCUGGACUCGGAUUUUUCCCAGUAAGCUCUAUCAGUUCUAUGAGUUCAUAUUUACUUCACAUACAAGAUUAGUUCAUCAAAUUUUAACUGCGAGUUUUUCGUAUAUUAGAUGGAACCGGGCCUAUUAAUCAGGCGGGUGUUGAUUACUACAAUCGUCUCAUCGAUGCAUUGCUAGCCAAAGGUGCCAUAAAUUUUCAUUUUUCUCCAGAAUUUUGUAUGUACUUCCGACUUUGCAUUAAGCUCCGUCACACUUGUUAAUGGCAACGGAGAAAUUUGAGCAUCGAGCGUUUAUUUAUCAGGAUGGAAUCAUGGACUGAACUAUGAGAUUAUGUGCAGGAAUUGAACCAUAUGUGACCCUCUAUCACUGGGACCUCCCUCAAGCAUUGGAAGACAAAUACAGCGGGUGGCUCAACCCUCAAGUCAUGUAAUCUCAACGUUGACAGUUUUAUGCCUAUAAUUUCCGUAAGUUUGAUUAACGAUGAGUUUUGGAUUCAAGUGUUUCAUAUGGCCUUAGUCUAUUGCAGAAAGGACUUUGCAACAUACGCGGACGCAUGUUUUCAAAAUUUUGGUGACAGGGUGAAGCACUGGAUCACAUUCAACGAGCCACAUACAUUUUCUAUACAAGGAUAUGAUGUAGGGCUCGAGGCACCGGGAAGGUGCUCUAUCCCCCCUUUACUUUUCUGCAGGGCAGGAAACUCAGCAACUGAGCCUUACACAGUUGCUCACAAUGUCAUCCUGUCUCAUGGAACUGCGGCUGAUAUUUACCGGAGAAAGUAUAAGGUAAGAAUGAUGGAAUGGAGAAAUAUUCAUGCACGUAACUAUUAACAACAGAAGUUAUUAAUGAUACUACUUGGUGUCUUUGCAGUCAAAACAGCGUGGAUCGGUUGGGGCAUCAUUUGAUGUUAUCUGGUAUGAAUCAGCAACAAACUCGACAGCAGACGUCGUUGCAACUAAAAUAGCCCAAGAUUUUCAGCUUGGCUGGUAAUCACAAAUUUGAUUUUAUUACUUAGUUAUAUUUGACUAGGAACUGCGUUAUAAUUUGUGUAAUCACUAUGUUGGAACGGCAGGUUUCUUGAUCCAUUUAUGUUUGGGGAUUAUCCAAGCUCUAUGAGAAGUAGGGUUGGAAGUCGGCUGCCAACCUUUUCCAAAUCCGAGUCUGCUCUAAUUAAAGGGUCCUUGGAUUUUGUGGGCAUUAAUCACUACACUACCUUCUAUGGAAGCAACGAUACCGCUGAUAUAAUUGGACAUCUACUCAAUGACAGCCUUGCAGACUCUGGUGCCAUUACUCUUCGUAAGUACUCACAUUGAACGCGCUGCAUAUUCCUCUUAACAGUUCUAUGUUCCAGUUAUUCCAUAAGUUGUCGGAAUCACCAAUUCAGAGAUUAAAGACCAACUUAUUAGAGUUCCGUAACUUGUUAUCAUUUAAAUUUCCGUUGUUAGCUGAAGAUAUCUUUUCUUUUUCCAUGUUUUCAGCAUUCAAAGACGGAAAACCUAUUGGCGAUAGGGUAUGUAGUGUAGUUAAACUCUCAUAAAUUACUGCAAUUUUUACUUGAUCCGACAUGAAAGCUUGUGUGAAAUUGCAGGCGAAUUCUAUAUGGUUAUACAUAGUGCCAGAGGGGAUGAGAAAAUUAAUGAACUACAUUAAGAAAAAGUACGGCAAUCCUCUAGUGAUUAUCACUGAAAAUGGUAAUGUUUCGAGUUCCAAAUAGAAGGGAUGCGACGUCCAAAAGUUCUUCAUGUUCACGGGACAUUUCAUGAGUUAAACUUGUUGGUUUCAUUAUUUCCACAGGCAUGGAUGACCCGAAUAGCCCAUUCAUUUCUCUCAAGGAUGCUCUAAAGGAUACUAAAAGGAUUAAAUACCACCAUGACUAUCUUAAGAAUUUGCUAGCUUCGAUCAAGUAUUAACCAUCUUUAAUUAAUCCGCUAGCUAUGAAUCUACUUUUUCUUGUCCAUAUUUUGUGGUGUAAAAGCUGAUAUCAUUCUGUCUUCGUUGAAUGCAGAGAAGACGGCUGCAAUGUGAAAGGCUAUUUUGCUUGGUCUCUGCUGGAUAAUUGGGAAUGGGCGGCUGGAUACACUUCUCGAUUGGUCUCUAUUUUGUGGAUUAUAAGGACAAGCUCAAGAGAUACCCAAAGGACUCCGUUCAAUGGUUCACGAAUUUCUUGAAUUCUACUCAAACAAGGCCAAUGAUCAUCUGAUGUUGUGAAUCUGAAGUCCUGCACUUGCACCCCAGCACAUCGAGUACACGAGGGUUGUUGCAGUUCAUGUUUCUUUGCGAUCGAGCAAACCAUCAUAAACAGUGUUCAGAUGAUAGUUUGUGGACAGACGUUUGGAGCAAAAAUAGCUUAUGAUUCUAUGAAAAGAAAAAUAUGAUUUGAAAUCACUAGCUUUUGAUUUAUUUUUGCAAUCAAUAUAUUGUUACACCAGUAAUGUUAUUCUUAUCAUGUUUUUAUACCACCUUAUGUGGCAUCUGAUGUGGACAACCACAUCAUUUAAAUUAAUCAGAAUUUAAUUUAAAUUAAAAAACAUUUAAUAAACCAAUAAUUAAGAAGAAAAAAAGUUGAAAUUAAAUGAUGAUUGUGGCAUACGAGGAGGCUUCUCCUUCCUUCCCGUUCAAUCCUACUUCUUCUCCCGUUUCUUCUCCCACGCCAGUCCUUUCACGGCAGUCAGUUGAAGAUUGUUACAGACCUAAAGUGGGAGAACAUGUGCACACAUCACAUCUGCAUCAUAGGAUGGCAACAAUGUCCGCGAACAUGUGCACACAUCACGGCAGCCAGUUGAAGAUUGUUACAGACCUAAAGUCCCUAGACAUUGCCCAUACUCCGAUGGAAACACCAAGCACCACCAUGACCGCACUGUCCAGCUUUGGAAUGUUCUCCAAGAAUGGCAUUCUCACUUUGUAAAGCUCAUGACUCAUAAAAAACUAUACAUCCAAGCUCUUAAUAGUUGGUUGAAGCUAAAUCUCAUACCUAUCUAGGGCUGCUUAAAAGAGAAAAUCUCAUCCCCGCCAAGAGUUCAGCGUCCACCAAUCCAAGCUCUCCUCCAUUCAUGGCACGAUUCUCUUGAAAAGCUUCCUGAUGAACUCGCAAAAUCUGCAAUAUCGUCCUUUGCGGCUGUGAUAAAGACCAUCAUACUUCAUCAGGAGAAGAGGGAAUGCGAAGCUCACCAGAGCCACUGUAUCCAGGUGAGGGAGGAGAAGUCACUUGGGAGUUUCAAAACUCGCCUGCCUGAGACCUUCCGCGCCAUGACAGACUAUGCUAAUGCCUGUUCCAUUGCUUCGUCUGCUUCCAUCAAUGGCGAGGCGGCUGAAAAAAAAUGCCGUGAAAGAACUGGCAUGGAAGAAGAAACAGGAGAAGAAAGCAAGGGGAGGGAAGGAGAAGACUCCUCAUAUGCCACAAUCACCAUUUAAUUCCAGUGGUUUUUUUAAUUAUUGGUUUAUUAAAUGGUUUUUAAUUUAAAUUAAAUUUUGAUUAAUUUAAAUGAUGUAAUUGUCCACAUUAGAUACCAAAUAAGAUGGUAUAUAAAGGCAAGCAAACUUAGGAAUGAGUGUUCCAUUCCAUUCUCUUGGGAGUCAAGCAACUCAUUCGGUAAUCAAACUGGCGCUGAAGGCAAUCAAACUCAGGAUUUUUUAAUUUCAAAAAUUGAUCAUUCGAUUACAAAGACAAUCUCAAGAGAUACCCUAAGGAUUCUGCUCUAUGGUUCAAGCUUCUAGGCUUCUUCUACUUGAACAAGGUGGUGAUGAACUGAUGCUCCUUACGGUCCGCGAAAUUCUGCAUUUAAAUUGCACCAGAAGGAUUCACCAAAUGCACACAAGGGUUGUUUUGAUUCAUGUUCUUAUCGCGUCGAGGAAGCGAUCAUAAUCCAAUGUUCAAGCUAUCAAAACUGUUUGCUCUCCAACACUUGACCCCAAUUGACAGUCAGCUAGUACCGUAGGUCCUUAGAUUGAGAAAGACUUGUCAAGAGUUUCCGAUCAUGUCAUUCGUCGGACACCUCUCACAAAAGCAUAAAAACACUUGUAUCUUUAUCCCACCUAACUCUAUGUUAGAGUUGGUCUUAAAUUAUAGGCCAUAACUAAACCGUUAGAGUUGGUUUUAGGUCCUUUGGUAGAAAAACUUGUGUAGAAUCUCCGACCUUUCUAGGGCACUUAUCACAAAAAUAUAGAACUAAUUGUAUUUUGAUCCCACACUCUAGUCUAUCUCAGUUCCACCUGUCCUAAUCAACCAGUCCUACCAAAGUUUAAAUAUGGGUCAAUGUUUGCAUAAUCUUUGUGUUGACCAGGGAGAACUUAUAGUUUCAAAUCCUCCUCCAUGAUAAGGAUUGCGUAGCCAAAAUCUAACCCAUUGAAUAUGCCAAUUGGCCUAACCAUGAACAAGGGCGGCAAAAUAUGACACGUCCGUCGCUUCGAUCCUAGUUAAGUUGAUUUCACUAGUACCAUUGUCAUUCUUCCAACCAAUCACGGUCUAAUAUAUUUCAUUCGCAUACAAGAGGAUUCUCUCUGGAUCCAUUUUGUGGAGAUCCCCCAUAUUUUAGCUGUUUAUCGUACAUUGUGCGGCUAGUUUUCAUUAAGUAUUAUUUAUGUUUAAGUUUAAAUAAAAAAAAUCAAAUGAUUUGUGAUCACAUAAUGCACGAUGAAUGGUUAAAAUAUGAGGAUCCCUAGAAUCCUCAUAAUUUGGAUCCGAUGAAUUCCAAAUCCCAUUCGCAUGUACAUGUUAAAUUGUGCCGAUAAAAAAAUAACAAGUCAUGCAACGUGAACUAGACCACAAAAACGGGAACUAAGCCAAUUGGAUGGAUAACGUGUUCAGGGGCCGAUUUAGAAUUCGGACUUUGGAGGGUCCUAAUGUCAAAUGUUCAAAUUUCUAGAUAAAAAGAGAACACAGAAUGCAAAUUUUUUGUCAGUCAAACUAUAUUACGUUAAUGUCAACAAAUAUUAACAUAUGCCGAAACAAAUUUGAUGAGUGAGAUCGAAAAAAUUUGUCGAGUAUUCUCGACCCACACUUGAUGGGAACAAAAAAGACCCGUACUAACAUUUGGAAGGUCCUCAAAAAAUAUUCACAUGUAUAUUUCUGAAACUCCAAGUAAUCUUGAACCACAUUAGUCCACCUUAGUCCCAAAGGUAUAUCCGUCAUUGAGUGUGUUCAUCUUCUUGCACUCGAGUUUGAGAAUACUACGUUGCCAAAAAAUGAUAUUAACAAUUGGACUGUAUUAAUGUCCUUAACGCGCAGCCUGCGAUGGUAUUGUUUGGCCUGGAAAAUGAUUAGCUGCCUAAUUCAAUUGAAACCCAUAAAUGGAGGACUAGUUGUUGGCUUAGUAAUUACUCCAAAAUUCCAACAAACAAAACUUAAAACACAGUGUGUUUGGGAAUCGUAGUCAUAUGACCAAACCGACACCGAAAGGAGUGGACCUAAUUAUUUUACAACAAUUCCUCCUCCUCCUCCUCCUCCUCGUCUCUGUCACUCUCUCAGAAAUUAACACCAAAUAUCCUUCACGUCUAACAUUAAAAAUACCCUCCAAUUAAUAUUCUCACAUAAAUAUUUCAUAGUUUUUAUUUGGUGUAAUAAAUAUUUGAUAUUUCUUUUCAUAAUUUAAUAUUGGUGAAAGUGCAACAGCACAUUUUAUAUAAAUUAAUUAAUUAUUCAUUCAUAAUUUUCCUUCCUAUUCGGAUCUGUACCUACCAGUGAGGGUGAGGACAUGUUGUUUGCAUUAUGUAUGCCUUGCCUUGCAUCGUACUCCAUCAUUUUCUUCUUUUGGUCCUACUAAAUGAUUUAAUCAUAUAUAAACGCUUCACUUUCUCUUCUUUUUUUUUUUAUACUUAUUUUUAUAGGUUAAUAUUUAAUGAAAUUUGACAUUUUAUUUUUGGACUUUUUUAUGGAUCUAUGUUUUUUUUUUAGGGGAAAAAUAAAGGACUUGUACCAAAACAACAUGUCGAGAUAUACUUAACAUACAUUCCAUCAAAUAUUCAACAGCCACAAAAAUGAUUCGUACCAAAUAUUCGGAGGAUCCCACAAGACCUUCACAUAUAUAUUUUUUGAACUUGGGUGGUUCUGGGACCACCCAAGUCUCUACUUCCAUCCGCACCUGGUUAUGUGUCUGUUUAAGAUUAUAGGUCUUUAUUUGGACCCCAAGACUGUAAUGUGUUUUGCAUGCAUGAUACAAAACUGGCAUGAAAUCCAAUGGUCUUCAUAAUAGUAAAAUAAAAAAGCAGAAAAUAACAUUCCAAUGAUAAGUAGUAGUAAAUAAAACGACAUGUGCCUUACUUUAGUUGAAAUUGCAACGAGAUUAUUUAAAAUUUUUUGUUUACAUAGAUGACGAGCUUAACUAUUAAUUAAGGGGAAUCUUGAUAUAACUCCAAUUUUUUGAACCAAUAGUAGGAAUGGUCCAAUUUAUUAAAAUAAGUCCAAUUCUUUAAAUUUAAUUAAUUUAUUAUCAAUAAUUAUCUCUUAAAAGAAAAAACUUAUUGUAAAAAUCAAAUUUCUUCCUAAUUAUCUCUUUGAUUAUCUCUUUUUAUAUAUAUUUUUUGUUAUUUCUUGUUCUUCCUACUAUUUUAACCCAUUUAUAGAUUUUUUUUUAAUUUUUAUAAUCAACCUAUAUCACAGGUUAAUUGUAUUUAUCUACCUAUAUGACAUAUUCUUUUUCAUAGUCAACCUGUCACAGAUUAAUAUGCCUUGCUUGUAUGUAUAUUAUGUUUUUUCUACCUUUUAGUUAGGUUUCAUAUCUCACUUAUAGGUAAUAUACAUUCAUAUAUUUUGCUACUUGAGUUAGGGUAGAAUAUUUUGCAAAUAGAUUUAUGUUAGUAUAUUAAUUUUUUUUUUUGUUUAUAAGAUAUUAAUUAGAUAUUUUGGAGUUGAAAAAUGCAUAAUAUUAAAAGAUUUUAAUUGAUUUUUAAUAUUUUUAGAAAAUAUAAAAGGAGUAUAAAAGAAAUAAAAACAUAUAAUUAGAUAACUGGAAUCAUUCCUAAAAACACUAUAUGUUUUUGGACCUGGAUCUAAAAGUCCCUUUAAUUAAUUAUUAUUACUAAUAAAUUGUCCAAUUUAGUCCAAAUCACAUAAGUUGACAAUUACUUAUACAUUUUUAAUAAAAUUGGAUCCAAAUACAAUAACAAAACAUGUAUGUUAAAAAAGGAAUCGACAAAUCAGAUAAUUUUGUAUGUAUUAAAAUAAUUUCAUUGACGAAAGAAAUAAUAUUUCAUCAAGGUGACGUUAUCGUAAUUCUAUAUCAAUCAUGUAAACAAAAUUAUUUUCCACAUGUAAGUGUAAUAAAAUAAGUAAAGUUCUACAAAAAAAUAUAUCGUUACGUCUACUUAUAUUAUGACAUAAUAUGUGUUGAAUAUCCGAUGCUUGAAACAUCUCUUCACGAAGACAAACAAGGGAAAAAGGUAUGGGGAAGACUAGGAUGACUUUCGACGGUGAGAACUUUCUUUUUACUGCGUGAUAUUUGUUUUGUUUGGGUUGGGAAAAUGAAAGGUGAAACGAAAACGUGUUGAAUGGACGUGGAUCGGGCGGGGCGCUGGGUACACACCACCACUGCUGUUUCCGGGUCACGCAGAUCUCGGUUGUUGGAUCUUAAAAAUUCCUCACCGCGCUGUGAGCGUAUAUAUAUACCCCUCAGAUCCCCUACAUUGUCGGCCAUCAGAAGAAGAAGAAAAACAGAGCUCCCUCCCUUUUUUUUAUCUCUGUCGUCUCUCUUCCUCUUCUUCCGCAUUAGAUCUCUCUCACUUUUUCUCUCCGCCGUCGACCUCCCGCCUCACAUUGAUUGAGGUAAUACUCCUGUGCUUUGCUCGUUUGGUAUCUCAUCAAGCUCAGUGGGUUUGCUCAUUUGGGUUGUCUUUUUUGUGUUUUUGGGUAUUUUGGAUAUUGUUUUGCGUAAUUCGAUUUGGGUUUUGUGUAUUGAGGUGUUUGAUUCGGGAAAGAUUGCUCAUUUACUUGUGUUGCUGUUUGGGUGUGGUGGAAUGUGUAGAUCUUUGUAGUUUCUCACUGAUUGCUGUAGAUCUGAUUGGGAUCGAUUUUUAAUUGGGAAUUUGGAUCUUAUAGUUUGGGAUUUGUUUGUGUGGGUUGCAGAAGUGGGAUUGUGUAUCUGAAAAUUGAAGAAAUUGUCCUCCUUCUCGAUAAAUUUCUUUCAUUUGCUCUUAAAACUGUGGAUCUGCAAAUCGUAAUGCGUUUUUUGUCUAGUAAACUUGUAGAUCUUGCAUUUACCUACCUCACACUUAGCUACAGUGCUCUGUUUUAGGUUCAUGAAUCAGUAUUAUACUUUGAAAUCGAUAAAGUUUUGAGCCCAUGCUGUGAUAUGGUUGUCGGUAGGAGAGACGUUGAUUCAUUAGUUUUGUUUAAAUCUGCUAGAUAAGUCGGCCCUUGUUUUCAUGGUUAAACUUUUUGGGAACUUUAACGAAAAAAUUUUGGUACCGUUCAUUUUAACUAAAAACUAUAUUUUUACACUAAAAUAUCAACCUGAUACUAUUCACUUUACCCUUUAUUUUGUUCUUAUCGUUAAAACUCAAAGUUUUCAAGUUAUUUUCAUUAGUUUUUCUAGUCUUCUUCGAAACUUUUUUGUUUUUGCUUCACCAUGGAUGACCAAUUUUUCUCCUAGAUUUGCAUAUCAUACUGCAUUCUCAAUGGAAUAUAUGAAGUUCGAUUAGUAAUAAAGCUUGUUCGUCAUCAUUCUAUAUAUUGGUGUAUUUGUGCCUUUGUUCUUAAUUCAUUUAUGUUUAGGCAAGUUGUUGUAAAUGUUUUCGUUAUGUUAAGAACAGUUAAAGGUCGGUCAGAAGCAUUUAGUCCUUCAAAUCUAUAAUAAUUAUAUAACAGCACAAAGAUCUAGUAUUUCAGUGCUUGAAAAUACUGUACCUUAUCUCAUUGUUUUGAUCUGCUCGUCUUUAGGCCAUCAUUAGCAGAACAAGAUGGUGAAGAUCUGCUGCAUUGGAGCUGGAUAUGUUGGUGGGCCUACUAUGGCUGUGAUUGCCCUUAAGUGCCCAGAUAUUGAAGUAGCUGUUGUUGACAUUUCUGUGUCAAGGAUCAAUGCCUGGAACAGUGAUACUCUCCCCAUAUAUGAGCCAGGCCUUGAUGAUGUGGUGAAGCAGCGCAGAGAAAAGAACCUCUUCUUCAGCACUGAUGUUGAAAAACAUGUUAUGGAGGCAGACAUUGUCUUUGUUUCUGUCAACACGCCCACCAAAACCCAGGGUCUUGGAGCUGGUAAAGCAGCUGAUCUUACCUACUGGGAGAGUGCUGCUCGUAUGAUUGCAGAUGUUUCGAAGUCUGACAAAAUUGUGGUUGAGAAAUCAACGGUCCCAGUUAAAACAGCUGAGGCCAUCGAAAAGAUUCUGACCCACAACAGCAAAGGCAUCAACUUCCAAAUUCUUUCAAAUCCUGAGUUCCUUGCUGAGGGAACUGCAAUCGAGGACCUUUUUAAGCCAGACCGUGUCCUCAUUGGAGGACGGGAAACCCCAGCGGGUCAGAAGGCAAUUCAAGCACUCAAGUCAGUCUAUGCCCAUUGGGUCCCUGAAGAAAGAAUCAUCUGCUCUAACUUGUGGUCUGCUGAGCUUUCAAAGCUUGCUGCCAACGCCUUCUUGGCACAGAGGAUAUCUUCUGUUAAUGCCAUAUCUGCACUCUGUGAGGCAACUGGUGCAAAUGUCCAAGAAGUGGCACAUGCUGUUGGCAAGGACACAAGAAUUGGGCCCAAGUUUUUUAAAUGCCAGUGUUGGUUUUGGCGGGUCUUGCUUCCAGAAGGAUAUCUUGAACUUGGUAUAUAUCUGCGAGUGUAAUGGCCUUCCCGAGGUAGCAAAUUACUGGAAACAAGUCAUUAAGAUCAAUGACUACCAGAAGUCUCGGUUUGUGAACCGUGUGGUUUCCUCAAUGUUCAACACAGUCUCGGGUAAGAAGAUUGCAAUUCUGGGAUUUGCCUUCAAGAAGGACACUGGUGACACCAGGGAGACCCCAGCCAUUGAUGUGUGCAAAGGGCUGUUGGGUGACAAGGCCCGGUUGAGCAUCUAUGACCCUCAGGUGAGUGAGGAUCAAAUCCAGAGGGAUCUUUCUAUGAAGAAGUUUGAUUGGGACCAUCCCAUUCAUCUUCAACCUCAGAGCCCCCCUGCUGUGAAGCAAGUUGGUGUAGCCUGGGAUGCUUAUGCGGCAACAAAGGAUGCUCACGGAAUCUGCAUCCUGACCGAGUGGGAUGAGUUCAAGAGUCUUGAUUACCAACAGAUUUAUGAUCAGAUGCAGAAGCCUGCAUUUGUGUUCGAUGGAAGGAACGUGGUGGAUGCUGAGAAGCUGAGGCAAAUUGGGUUCAUUGUUUACUCGAUUGGAAAGCCCCUGGACGAGUGGCUCAAGGACAUGCCCGCUGUGGCGUAAAGACUUGAUGAUGAGGAGAGAAGCACAGUAAUUUGAAGAUCGAUCCCCUUGUGCGUAAAAGUUCUAUCAGUUCCGAAGUUUGUUACUGAGAGUGGAUGCUUAAUUCGUCCUUAUUUUUAUCUUCUUGUAUUAAUUUGUUAUUUCACCUUUCUUAAAGUUGGGGGUUAUGUUGCGUCAUAUUUUACUUGUAAUAGUACCCUUAAUACGGUUCCUGAGUUUGUCCUCAGUUUAGUGGAAUAUAUCUCAAUUUGUUAUUCUCUUAGAUUAAUGUAAUAAAAUCAGAAACCAGGAAAUUAUAAUUCUUUUGGUCUUCCUUUUUUGUUAUGUUGCAAAGUAGGGUCGUUUACAAUUGGAGAAAAACACGUGUGCUCUGUCACCAUGACAUCUCGUGCGAAACAGACAACGCUACGUGUGUAUUUGAUUAGAAGAAAAAGGCUCGAACCGAAUGAAAGAUUACUAGCUCACAAGAAAGGGUUGCAACAAUAGAGAGACCUUACUUGUUCUGAAAAGACAGAUGAGCUCACAGCAACCAACACAAAUGGCUCCCAAAUGAAUGCUAGAGUAGCGUUGCCUCACAUUUGGAAUCAUAUUAAAGCUUUUUAGCCAAAAUGGUCUCUGAGAUUUGUAUAACACAUCACUUUAGUCAUUCCGUUAAAAAUUCCGUUAAGUGUCCCUGAGCUCUUAGCUGGAAGUUUAAGCAAUUUUCAAAACUUUGUAACUCAAUUGUUUAUUAACCAAAUUCGACCCAUAAUAUAUCAAAAUGAAGAUAGGAAAGUGUAGAACAAUAUUAUACCUAUUUGGAAGGUCAAUGGUUGAGUGCGGUGGACGGAAAAUAGUUUGGAAUGUGACUGGUCCAAGGGAAAACUGGAAAACUCGCCGGAAACUGGGUAAAUUUUAAACGUUCAUAACUUCUUCAAUAAUCAACGAAAUCGAGUGAUUCAAAAACAAAAAUCAUACUUCUCAAUGAGAAGAAGAGAAUUGUACUUUUCUUGAUGGCUAAUUCUCCGUGGUUUGGCCGGAAAAUGGCUCGAAAGUGGCUAACUCAAGACCAAGAUAGCUACUUUCGAGCCAUUUUCCGGCCAAAACACAGCAAGUUAGCCAUCAAGAAAGGUACCAUUCUCUUCAUAUCAUCGAGAAGUAUGAUUUUCAUUUUUGAAUCACUCAAUUUGGUUGAGUAUUGAAGAAGUUAUGAACGUUUAAAUUUUAUCCAGUUUUUGGCGAGUUUUUCAGUUUUCCCGCGAACUAGUCAACUUUCAGGCUAUUUUUCAGCCACCGCCGACAAGCAUUGGCCUUCCAAAUAGGUAUAAUCUUGUUCUACAAUUUCCUAUCUUCAUUUUGAUAUAUUAUGGGUCGAAUUUGGUUAAGAAACAAUUGAGUUACGAAGCUUUGAAAUUUGCCCAAACUUUUGGCUAAGAGCUCCGAACACUUAACAGAGUAUUAACUGAAUGACCAAAAUAAUGGAUGAUGGACAAUCUCAGGGACCAUUUCUAUUGAUUUUCAAUCUUAGUGACCAAAAUGAUGUGUUAUACAAAUCUCAUAGACCAUAUUAGCUAAAAAGCCAUUCAUUUAUGUAAAAUGGUACUAUGUUGCAAUAUUAUUUUACUUUAGUAUUGUUAUAGGUCAACGAAAGAGUAAAAUUAUAUAUGUACAAGGCAGAGAGUUCAAAUCUAUAAGACAAUUGGAGGAGGGAGAGUUGGCGGUUCUUUUAUUAUUUUUAAGAAAAAAUGACGAAUUUUAAACUUCACUAAAGAAACAGUGUUGUUUUGCUAAAAUUAAAUACGUCUUUUUUCCCUCGGUCCUAAAUGAGAAUCGAGUGGUAGAGUUGCACCGGAAAGAUGUCGAUGCUUUUAGCUUUUGUUGAACUCGUUUUUUCACAAAAAAAAUGAUUCAAAAGAGAUAUUUUGAACGUAGUUUGGACAAAUUACUUAGAACUAAGUGUAUAUUUCUUGAACCCAAAAAAAAAAAUGAGAUGGGCACAUACCCCCCCCCCCGGGCGGCCCUUCAUCAAAUUCGAUCAAGUGUACCAUGAGUAUUUUUUCUCUUGUAUUUUGGCAAAAGAGAAUUGCAAAAUGACUUUUUUCAAAAGAAAUUCGAUGAAUUGGAAAUAUUGUCAUGCUGUUAUUAGAAUAUUUUGAUUGAGAGAGGAGUUGUAUACUGAAUAAUAUUUUGCUUUGAAACUUUCUUGACGAAUUCAAACUCACAAAUGUAUUUUUGAAAACACCGUUUAUGUUGCGUAUCUUUUAACUUAGUAACUAAAAGUACGGUACCUUCUUAUAUAAUGUCGGGGUUGCAUAAUAAUAAAUUAGUUUGUCAUCAAUGUAAUUUAAUACUUGUUACGUUUUAAAAAAAUAAAAAUAAAAACAGUUGGCUAGAAGUUCUUUAAUGAUUAAAGAAUAAAGGUUUUGUGAGGACCUUAUCGUAAAUUCAAUUCCACAAAAGCCGGCUUCAGCCCUUUCGAGUUAUAUAGGGUCCAUCCCACACCAAAGCUCUCUCUCACGGUAUCAAGAUUAAACCGGUUUUUUUUUUAAAUCCGGACCGCUUUCUUUACAGAAAAGUACGAACCGUAGCCCCUUUAUCUUUCAUCGUCAUCCCCUUUCGAUUCGAUCCCAGACAGAUCGAUCUAAAUUUCUUUCCCAGAUUUCCCUUAAUUUCUUAUCAUAAUCGUUGAAUCGGAUGUCCGUUUGUAUAAAUCCGAAUCUCCCCUAUCGAUUAAUCCCAAAUUCGACCAAAUCCUUUGGCCUCGUACAAUUCUAGGGUUUCGACUCUGAAUCGGCCCCUUUCGCCUCGUAAUAUUCCAAUCCAUCUCGUUUCUUCGAUCUAAUUUCUGUCUCCUUGCUUUGCCCUCUUGAAUUUGGUCCUAAUUUUGUAGAUUUUUUCGGCCGCGUCAAAUUUCUAGGGUUUCGUAGAGUUCAUCUCGUUAGGGUUUGUUCUUUGUGUAAAUUCUUGUAGGGGUUUUGUUCGCCUCACCUUUCUUUCGCUAUUUCGUAUGUUUUUUUGUCAAUAAUUUCACGAUUUCACUUGUCAAUUGCAAUUUCUAGGGUUAGGGUUUCUGAAAAAAUUCAGCUUCUUUAUUUGGUAAAAUUGGAUUAGGGUUACGGUUCAUAAGGCCGAUAAAUCCGUUUCUGUUCAUAACCAGCGUUCAAUUGUAUUACUUAAGCCGUCUGCUGUUCCUCUGAAGAAUUAAUAGAGGUACAAUUUUGUUGUUGUCAUUAUAAUCUUGUGAUGGGUUUUUGUUGUAAUUAUUGGAAGCUUUUUGCCCUAUCAGUUAUCAUUAUUAUUCUUAUGCUGACAAAUAAAUUUGAUAAGUGGAAACAGUAUUGAGAUUGAUAUUGAUAUUAUUCAAAAUAUUUUGUAACUUUUUGGUUAGCUUAAGUUGGAGUGCGUGGUCCGGUGAAAAUGGCUUAAGUGGUCUGUGUUCAAGUGAAGAUAUGUUGGUGUUCUGAUUAAGUGAAUGAGCAAUUGAAAGCAAGUUACGCGGGUUUUGGCGGAUUUAGAUUAGCAACGUUACAUGCCUGCAGUUCUUGUCUUGGAAAAUCUGUUAGGACAAACGUAGUAUUUUAUUCCUGCUAAAUGCAUAAGUAUUAUUGUUAUUGGUGUUGUCAUGCAUAUUUUCAAAUUUUUCAUAGAAAUUAAUUAUUUGGGCUUCAGGUUAAUAUGGGAUUCAAAAGGCCCUUUGAUGAUGUCGAGUUCCAGGAGCUUCCUUAUAAGCACUCAAGACAACAUGAAUUCGGUGAUAGGUGCUCACCAUUCUUUGAUGCUGUUUCUUGUUAUGGUGCUCCCCGAAAAACAUAUGUUUCAGGUAAUGUUGUUUUGGCGUUACAUUACUUUCAUGUUCCUUUUGUAGCUAAUAUAGCCUGCUUUUUAACUUACUGAACAUGGUUGCUUUGACUGAUUCAUGUUGAAGUCUAAUUUUAUUUUUAUUUUUUUCAUAAAACAGGUGAGAAUGGGAGUGGUGAUUGUAAGUCCCAGUGGCUUGAGGUUCUUGAAAAAUAUACUGUUGCUGAAGAUUCAACAGCUGCCAACAAGGGUUGUGUUCCCUUCUCAUUGGUUACCAGGAGUUAUGGUGAAGAAGAUGUGCGUUCUGGACCAGAUGCUUAUUCACCUUCUGCUGAGGAUUUCAAAUUUGACUUCCCAAGGAGAACAUGUGUUCCUUUCAAGGAUGCUUAUUCUUCUUUGUUUGACCUCUCUCCAAGGAAACAAGUUCCGGUUGGACCAGAUCAUCAGGCCAGGAUACCUUUAUGGAGUGGACGCAUGAAAUCGACGGAUCAGAAAGAUGAGAUUUAUAACAACAACAUUUCCUUGCAAUCUUUGGAAUCAGAAAAGACUGUGAACAAUGAUAGUGAGGAAAAGCUUUUAGGGACUUGUGUCAUUCCAAUGCCUGAGUCAAACCUCUCAGCACUUGAGUGUGAUAAGGUUGGAUUUGGUCGAACAGAUUGUAGCUGCCUGGACGCAGGUACAGUCAGGUGUGUGCGACAGCAUGUCAUGGAAGCACGGGAAGAACUUAGAAGAACUCUUGGAAAUGAAAAGUUUGUCAAGUUGGGGUUUUGUGAGAAGGGGGAGGAAGUGGCACGAAGAUGGAGUGAAGAAGAAGAGCAGGCCUAUCUUGAGGUUGUUUACUCUAAUCCUGCAUCAUUGGGGAGGAAGUUUUGGAAGCAGUUGUCUGCAGUGUUCCCUUCUCGUAGUAAAAGGGAACUGGUCAGCUAUUAUUUUAAUGUGUUUAUGCUUCGCAGGCGGGGCACUCAGAACAGAUCUAGUAUACUAGAAAUAGAUAGUGAUGAUGAUGAGUGGCAUGGAAACAAUGGAGAUUCCAAUGACGCACCAGAUGCUGAAGAUGAUGAAGACUCCGUUAUUGAGUCUCCUUAUUAUCAAGAUGAUCGUGUGGGCAAUGAAGAAGAUUACUCUGAAGAAGAUGAUAGUAGUGAUGGUGGCGACAGUGAUGGUGAUGUGGGGCAUGUUGAAGGAGAUUCUAGCAAAGCGGAUGGCAGGAUAGAUCAUGUAUCGCAAUCAUACAUGCUGAAGUCAGUUAAAGAAGGAAAGUUUGAUACACUUGGGGAUUGGGAAAAGAAUUCAGGGUGUACUGGAGACGAAUUUGAUUUCCAAGAUGACUCAUGUGUAUCUUUCGAAUUUCAGUCCAAUAUCCAUGAUUCUCGCAGCAAAUGCUUGGAUACCCAGCCUGAUGCAUCCAGUGAUGCAGCUGGUCAUGCAUAUUUAUUGGAGCCUUGCAACGCUAAAGUUUGGGAUGGAAGGUUCGGGGUGGACACCAUGAAAGGCGAUGAUCUACUGCCAACGUGGAGUAUGAUUGAAGACAUAUUUGAUCAAGGAAUGGCGGCGGAUUACAAGAUGACGGAUGAGCGCAAGGCACCAGCCGGUGGCUAGGUGGCUUACGAAAUAAUUCUUUUAACCCCAAUUAGUUGCUAAUAAAAAAUAUGAAAAGAAAUGUUGAGUGGUUAAACUCGUCAUCAAAUACAUUGUCUUUUUGUUUGUUCUCUUAUUCUUCUUCUUUUUCUUCUCCUCUUCAUCAUCAUCGUACAAAAGAAGUCGACCUUUCCCCUCGUCUUAUUCGAAAUUCCCAACUUUCUAAGCAAAUUUCCCAACUCUGCAUCAAACACCUGGCUUUGUGAUUAGAUGGGAAACGGAGUUGGAUUCUCUUCCUUCUUUCUUCUUUCUCCAAUCGCAAUUAUAUAGAAAGACAAAAUAAAAAAUGUGAUGGGAGAGGAGAAGGAAAAGAGAGUAGGACGGAAGAAAAUCAUACUCCGAUGAAAAACCCCCACCAUCAGGUGAUGAUUUUGGGCCCUUGGACGGGAUCUGACGGCCACAAAAAUUCGGCACAAAUGCCGACCUGCACCGAAGAAAGACCGCAGCUCCAUUACCUCUUUAUUUAUAGUCCCACAGCAGGCACCCUCAUGAGAAUUUUUAUCAAUACUUCCCCUUUUUGGAUGUCUCGGAACAAUGAUAUUCACACUUUCAUUUUAAUGAUAAUUCUCUCAUAUUAUGUAUUUUUGUGCAAAAAAUAUAAAAUCACAGAAAAUUCAUAAAAAGUCAUACUUUUAAAAAGGUCUUGUUGGCAUCUCGACAAACAUGAAUCGAGAGAUAAUAGAAAAUGGGAACAAGAUCUCCUCCGAAUCCAAAUAAACUGAGCCUAAGAAUCAAAGGAUCUGACCGUUGAAAUUUGAUCUAACGGCUACAAUUAUUAUAAUUUUUAAAGGGCUCUUUGUUUGUAGUUGUUAGAUCAAAUUUUAAAUGAUGAAUUCUUUACUCAGAAUGCUCAAUUUAUUUGGGUCCAGAGAAAAUCCGGUUCCUAGAAAAUGUAUUUGUUGCGGCAGCCGACUAAGCACUCUGCUCAGAAUAUAUAAUGAGGGAGGACUGACAUGCACACUGCAAUUGCGACUCAUAUCUUCAAAGUCAAUGCUUUCAAAUAUGGGUUGUUGAAUUCUUUAACUUUUUUGUGUUGGCCAGGUGGUACUCUUCAGCUGGAUUGGCAAAUUUUGGUCAACCACUAGAUAAUUUAUCAAACAACUAUAAAAUUUAGAACUUAUAUUUACGUUAGGGUGAAUUGUCAAUUUAGUCCAUGAAUUAUCAUUUCAGUGAAAAUUAGAUCCUAAAAUAUGUUUUUUAGAAAAAUUGGUCCUUGAAUUAUAAAAAUCCGCCAAUUACAUCUCUAAUAUUAUAUUCGAAGCUAAUAUAUUCAAUUUUCUGUCAAUUUAAGUUACGUUACUUGCAUAUGAUACACAUUAGAGGGUAGAUUGGUAGUUUUCCAUAAAGAAAUAGUGUAUGGAGUUAACUUUGGAGGGUAAAUUGGUAGUUUUACAUAAGAAAUCGUUUAAGUUAACUUUGGAGGGUAAAUUAGAUGUUAGAUUCGUAACCUAUAUGAAAUGUGAAGGGCUUAUAAGCGAGAAAAUGACGGUAUUACACUCUAAAGUGUGUCAAAUGACUUAAGUUGAAGAAAAACUGGAUAAAAUAGCUUUGAAUAUAAUAGUAUGGAUGAAAUUAGCAAUUUUUAAUGAAUUUAAAGACUUAUUUUACCGAAAAAUAAAUUUAUGGACCUAAUUUUCACUGAUGUAAUAGUUUAGGGACUAAAUCGGCAUUUCACCCUUUAGGUUAAGCUGCCAAACGCAGGUCGGAGUUAAAUUAAUUGAUUAAAACAGUGUCUGUCUAUUAAAAUUUUGAUUUAUGUUAAUAGACACAAAUAAAAUAAAUUAGGAGAUGCAAUCGAGCAGAUAAGUUUGUUUUUCGUCUUUUAUUUUCUCUUUGGCCAAUAGUAUUUGUUAUCCAAACUCAUAAAAGUUUUAAACAAAAAAUAAGACCCACAAAAGAAUAAUGCAUGAUAUGGAAGAUGCCAAGCAGGAAAUUUAAAAAAAAAUAAACAUCUGAAAUGGAUAUAUCACAAUCAGAUCCCUACAAGAUGGGUGAUUGACUUAAUCAAGGGAACUGGUAAUUACUAAGCAAAUAUGCCUUUCUAUGAAUUGAAUAGUGUGGAAUUUAGUAUGUGUUUAGAAGUGUUUUUAAAAUGAUUAAAAAUGUUUUUGUUGAAAAUGUUUUAAAAAUUAAUCUUUAGUAAAAAUCAAAUGGGUUUUGGAAAGACAGUUAAAGUGUUUCGUGUAAGAAAUACAUAUUUGGUGCUUCUUCUAAAAAACACUUAAAAGUGAUUUUGAAACUCAAAAUCAAUUUUCCUAAAAACUCUUUUAGUCAUUUUAAAAGCACUUCUAAACGGCAAUUUGUUUUGGUGUUUGAAGAAUUGGGAACAACAUGUGUCAUCUUAGUCAGCAUCCAACUUCAAGAUUAGUUUGAUGAUUUCAAUCUCAACCGUUGGAUCAAGUAUAAAACUUGAAUUACACGGUGAAAAAGUUGUUAAAUUCAAGUAUGAAAAUGUGGACUAACAACAAAGAAACAAGGUAUAUGAAAGUGUGGAUAAGACUACAAAACACCAGUCAUAUACUACUAUAGUGGGAAAGGGAUUGAAAACAAAGAAAAUUCAUCAAAUGUUGACACGCCCCUCACCUAUGCAAAUACAUUUCCUUUUCGGAUUGUGCUGGACGCAAUCACUCAUACCGGCUCGUAUGGGCUCGCACUUGCACCAAUGGCUGAGCAUCACCUGUGCGUGAGUAGAAGACUGUCUCGAGCACUCCUCCGACUAUAUGACUAGACUACAGGAAGCUUAUAAAACAAUAAAGAUCCGACCUUUGGAUUGUGCUUCUCUACAAUUACAAGCAAAGACAAGGUUAAGGCAUAGUUUGGACUAGGAGGAUCCUCGUCGGAUUCUUUUUGUGAGGAUCUUGAGAAUCCUCUAAUCAUAUUCAUUUAUUGUAUAUCGUGCGACUAAUUUUUAUCAAAUUCUGUUUAUAUUUAAUUUUAAAUAAAAAAAUUUACAAUAAUUAUCCUCCACCCUAAUUUCGACGAUGAUGUUUCAGUUUUAUUUUAGACUAACUAGUAGUAUUACUCCUCAAACCUUGGGAUCCUCAAAACACACCCAUCAAUCCUGGCCGUCCAAUUGAACAGCGAAUACGUCUCACUUGACUACACGUGCUGCCAAUCUUCUACUCCCGUUUUAUCUUUUGCUUCCAUGCAUGGAAUUCUCCUCCGACUAUAACACAAGUUAGAGAGAGAGAGUUUGGAGAGAGAAAGUGAGAGAGAAGAAUCUCUGAAUCAGUCAUGGCUUAGCUUUUUGAUUGUUUUUUACAGGCCUCUUCAUCGCCAUCAUUAGCGUGAAGAAACCCAUUUCUUCAAAAUUUAAUCUUUUCGAUUUAAUCCUAAUUUUUGUUUUCAACAUUGAAGAAAGGGAUUGUGGGUUAUACUUUGAAAUGGAAUUUAAAGGGUUACUUUUUGUUGGGUCGGAUCUCGUACUUCACAAAACCGUCACAUCUCAGCACUUCGAUUCUCCCAUCUGUUCAUCAUCUGCAAUAAAGCUACAAACUUUGUGAUCUGUGUCUUCAGUUGCUCGCUCGAUCUGAGAGAGAUUGUGCCUCUGUUUCUAUCUGCUAUUUGGGUAUUUUUUUGCUGGAAUCAGGGAACCGAAUAAUGCUGCAUUCUAGCUACUUUGUUCGAGGUAAGUUUUGCUGAUUUUACUUUGUUACUGCUGCCCAUCUUUUGGUUUGAACUAUUGAAUGAUGAAAAAAAAUCCAACCAUGGAAGAAGAAGAUCAGAACGAUCAGAACCAGAAAAAGAAAUUUGUCUGCAGGUUUUGCAGCAAAAGAUUCCGUUGUGGGAAGUCAUUGGGUGGUCACAUAAGAACCCAUCUGAAGAUUCUGAACAAAAAACCAGUUAUUGAAAAAGAAGAAGAGGAAGAAGACGAUGAAAUUAUAGCCAAAGCUGCUGCUAGGAUUGUAAAGUUUUCACCUUUUGAUGGUGGGAAUUCUGGGUACUCUCUCAGAGAAAAUCCCAAGAAAACAUGGAGGUUUUCGGAUGCGGGCCCUACUUUCCAAUUGCAGCAGGAGAAAGUGUGCAAAGAAUGCGGCAAAGGGUUUCAGUCACUGAAAGCUCUGUGUGGUCACAUGGCUUGUCACUCGGAGAAGGAGAAGCUGAUGAACAAGUUUGAAGAAAUCUCAGAGUUCAGUGAGAAACAGAAGCUGCUUGAUGUAAUGGACAGUCAGUCGGAUACUGAGACAUCGGCUCCUCCGAGGCAGAGAAGGAUUUCCAAAAGAUUGAAGCAGCAGAAUCUGGAUGUUUACUCUUCUGUGGCAAAUGGUGGUUCUUCGUCUGGUGGUUCCGGAAUUGAGCAAGAACAGCAAGAGGUUGCUCUUAGUUUGAUGAUGCUAUCACGCGAUUCGGGUGGUAAAGGGGGUUUGAAUUCGUUUGCUGAAUCUUCAGACAACAACUCUGUGAUUUUGGAGGCCAAAUCUUCGUCUAUCGAUAUGAGGAUUAAUACUAAGGAAGGUCUGAACUGUGCCUAUAAAGUGAGUGAUGUUAUGGGGAUGAAGAGAGUUAGAGAGAAAAAGUUGAAGUCCGAGGAGAUUGAGGUUUCUGACAAUUCUGAUUCUGGGUAUUUUAGACAUGAGCAACCUAAGAAAGUUGAUUCGGAUGUUUCGGUUGAUGGGUUUUUUAGGAAUGGUGAAUUUCACAAGGGUAGAGCAGAAUUUGGAUCCAGAAUUGAGGGAUAUGAGUCCUAUGAUGUGAAAUUAAGGAAGGGUUUUCGUGUCGAAUCUGAAUUAGGGAAGGAUGUGUCAAAUGCAGAAGCUCGUAGUCCUGAUCAAGUGCAUAGAGAUAGAGGGACUUUGAAGUAUGCACUGAGAAAGACAACCAAGAAUACAACUUUUCACAGACCAAUUGUCGAUGAUUCGUCCAAUGUCGAACCCUGCAGAAAUGCGCGAAAGAGCGGAAAAUACGAGUGCUUGACAUGUAACAAAACGUUCCAUUCUCAUAGGGCUCUUGGGGGGCACAGAGCAAGUCACACCAAGACCAAUGCCUACUCUGAGUCCAUUUAUGAGAGUGGGGAAAACAGCGUAGACACUGAUCCCUCCCCAGUUCUGACACCCGAAAGCAGCAAGCUUGCUGAUCAGCAUUGCAGUGGGAAAAAACCAAUGAAUGAUCAGGACUUCAGUGGCAGUGCAAAGAGAAGUUCAGAGACCAAGAAAAGCAAGGGGCAUGAGUGUCCAUUCUGCUUCAAGGUUUUCAAGUCAGGCCAAGCUUUGGGAGGUCACAAAAGGUCACAUUUUGUUGGAGGAUGUGAAGUCAAAACUGUGGUACUUGGGCAACAAGAACCCGAUCAACCCCCUCCUCAUGAGGCUGAAAUCACAGCACGAUUUGAUCUCAAUCUUCCAGCUCCAAUGGAGGAUGAAGCAAAUGACCAUUUUGGGUACAUGGCAUGGUAGAUUGGAAGACAGGGUUUUUCAAGUAUGGACCGAAACACAGUAUGCAACAGAAUCCUUGAACGUUGAAUCCUUAACUGCACUUCCAGCCGUUCAUUCACCUAGUUGAUUUUAGAAUUUUCGUGGAAGGAAGAAGCAUCAAAAGCAUGAAACUUUUUAGGUGGGUCUCUUUAUCUGUUACUGUAGUGACGCAAAUGAAGGCAAAGUACAGGCAAUGUGCUGAAUUUUUUGUUUCUCUUUGGGUCCCAUCAGUUCAAAGGAAUGCCUUGCAGAGGUAAUGGUUGCAUUUUUAGUUUCAGACUUGGAAGAAUUAAGUAAUUCUUGCAAAUUUUCCAUCUUUUAGUUUUUGGCUUGUUCUGAUUUCAUCAUCCUUCUCAUUUGUAGUGCACUGUUUUGGAAUUUUAAAUUAUUAUAUAUUCUUCUACAAUGUUUUGGAUAAAACACAAGUUAAGAGUAAUGCUGGAUUGACAUUUUUAGACUAAAUUUAUAAAUCAUAUAAUGUGUCAUCAAUAAUAAAUCAAUAUGUUAAUAAUCUAGUCCCUGAUUAAUUGAGAGGACAUCAAAUCUUCUGCAUCCAAAAGCCUAUGUGACUUCUCUGUGACCUAUUUCUUUUGUUGACAUUAAACCGUUUAUUUAAACUAUACUUAUCUGUGUUAACUUUUCAAUUUUUCUUCCUAAUAAAAAAUCAAAAACUAAAGAUAAAUUAAAUCAAACGAACAUAUGUCACUUAGUAGAUAAGACAGAAAAAUUACAGAGAAUUUUGAGUACAGAAGAUUUCAACUCUUCCGAGAGAGUCUAGGACGACCCAAAGAAAUACUCUGGCCCAUGAUGGUUCGCAGCACCAAAAACGGAACCUAAUAGCUAAGUCAUGGGGUCCUAGGUGAUGGAAAGUGACACUUCAUCAGAUAUGGUUUUCAUAAAUAAGGUAAUUUUCAAGAGCACAUACUCUCUUUCCUCUUUUACUUGUAACUUUAAAUGGAAAAGUUUAAAGACCAAGGGAAAUUGGAAUUCACACUAGUUUAAUUUUUCGCUGAACCGUAAAUAAAAAAAUUUACAUUUAUACACUUCUUUGGAUUUUCGAACGACAUCUGUAGUUAAUAAAAUAAUGGUAUGUGUUUUAACUUUUUUAAUUAAUAUCAUAAUAAUAUUGAUACGAGACGUCAUGUAAAUCUCAUUUAGACUAACCCUAAAAGAUUACAGAGACAAAUUGAAAGGAUUUCUCACCUUACAUAACCAACUCCACUUGUAAUUGUGACCAUUCAGAACUUGAGAUUGAUUUCCUAUUAAGCACCAUAUUCAGUGUUGAAAACUGUUUUAUCCAAAAGUUUCUUCAAGGACCACCUGCUUUAUGAGGAAAUGUUACAAAGUGGUGCCACUUAAAAUGUUGGAAGAGAAGUUUCCUCCAUAAUUUACAUCCCUAAAUCACUCACACCGUAUUUUCACAUUCAGAUAUGCAUUUGCAUUUCUGUAAAAUUAUGAUUACAUAGAAGAAAGUUUCAAGCUACUCUUCCUUGUAGAGUCUUCUUUCAAUGUGAUAAAAAAUGGCGACCUUAAGCCAAUAAGGCUCUCCGUUUUGUGGCGGUUGGUGGGAAGGAGGGGGGGGGGAGUUUGUGGCUAUUGUACGCAGCCUUAUCCUUACUUUGCAAAUAUGUUGUUUCCAUGACUCGAAUCCGUGACAUCUUGGUCACAAAGGAACACCCUUCAGUUUUAUAAAAUAAGAAACAAAAUUGUUUCACAUUACAACUUGUAAAUUAGGGGAUCCUAAAAUAGUAAAAGCUUCUGCAAAUAGAAUUUGGGGUUGUUGGAGAUAUGGAUAUAUCUUAAGCAUCAAGGUUGAAAUAUUGGAUUAAAGAAAAAUAAUUAGUUUGUGGAAUCAUGAGGAAUCAAAGUCCAUUGUGCACUUUUCAUCAAUGGGGAAGAAAUUUUGGUUCAAGGUGGUUGCAUAGCACCUACCACUAAGCAUUUGAGUUUGUUUUAAUUCAUAUGUGUUAGUGAAAUUUUGGUCAAAAAGGGUCAUAUCCGUUUGGAAGAAUCAUUGUUUGAUAUUGGCAUAUAGUCACAUGAUAUGGUUGAUUUUCGUUGAAUUCAUUGAACUGUUAUUGGCAUUCUAAAAAUCUAAUUAUGCAAUAUGCACUCUCAUAAUAAUGUUUUUCUUUCUAAAUCUAGAGUGCACAAUUAGAUUUUUUGAGUGCCAAUAAUAAUUUCCUAAAUUUAUGCUUUUGAAUAUUCUAUUAAUACUCAAUUCACGUGUUAUAAGUUAUAGCCGGUGUUUAAAAUAUUUACAAAAUUAUUGAUAUUUCUGUAUAAAUAUCCGAAAAAUCAAGGAUCGAUAUAGAAAUGGGCGAUGAAAUGCAAACUUCACCUAUGAUAUUACCGAUUCACUAUAGAAAAUUUGCCAUAACCAAUUGCAGGUUUCGAACUUUGGAUUUUUUUUGAGAAAUUUUUCUCUAAUUACCACUAAUCUAAAUGAGUUGAUAUAUUCAUCCCAAAAUUUUCAUAAUUUCUAUCGAAAUCAACCAAUAUUGAUAUUUUCACUUGUAUCGAUAUUUUAAACAUUAAUUAUAACAUAUGAAUAAAUUAAUUAUACUACAUGACAGAAUCGAAGUACUACUUAUUUACCUUAUUCUUCACAAAGCACACACAGGUUGUUUUGUGCAUUCUUUUCCAACUAAUAUGUUCCUUCCAUCAUCUGAGUGUAGUGUGUGUUCUGUAGAUGACCUCAGCCCUCAGCCCUCAAGACCACCUUUUUCUUAUGGGGAAAUAAAAGCUCGAGUCAGCGCAUUGCGUUCGCAUCAACUCGAAUCAAGAAGCACUUGAGAGGAGUAUCAAUUGCUUUAUGUAAAUAGAAUUAUGAACUCAUAUGGAAACACCAAAUCUUUCAAAACCAAACAUUCAUUAUUGCACACUCUAACUCUUUAGGCAACUUGGAUUGGCUUGUCACUAUAUCAUAUCACAAACCUCUGUCACUUUUGAGUAGAUAUUUUAGUACUCGUUUUAUCUUCUGUUAAUCCAAAUCGAGUAACUUGUAAUUUUUAUAGAAUCCACAAUACUAGUGAUACAAACGUGAGCUAGGUGAAUUGGUCGUUACAAUAUGCUUACCUACUGAGCUCUCAUCCAAAUUUGAAUCUCCUCCCCUAAAAUAAGAGUAUGAAUAUACGAGAAGCUAAAUUAUUUUGGAAUACCCGGCCAACUUGGAAAGACUUACUAUACAAAUUACCAGGCCCAUUGUUUUUCUGAACCUGCUGGCAAUAAGUACCCAUUAAUUAAAUCAAUGUAUAAGUGUAACCAUAUUAUGGCAUGAAACCUUAUUUGUUUGGUGUGAUAGAGUAGUUGACUCAUUUAUUCCGAUGGAGAAAUGUUUAUAUGAAAUGGAAGAAUUAGGAGUGGGGUUGGUCAUGACUAUUUUUUCCAUUUUUAUCUCUGCAUAGAAGAUGGAAAUGUAUUACCUAACAUGAACAAUUGAGGGUGGCUAGGGUUCCUUGUGUUUCUGAUUUUUAUUUGUUUUUGGGUGGACAUCUUUAUCAUGCCUUUUCUGAUACUACAAUGUGGAUGAUUUUCAUAUAUUAAAAAGUCUCUUCCACUUUCCUAUCAAAUCUCUCUUUAUUCUAGCACAUAAAUGAAGGAUCAAAGAGAUUAUGGUAGAUCGCAUUCACCAAGAAAUGACCUUAAUCGAAAAUCGGAUCGGCAACAAAUAACAUGCUUUAUCUGGAUUCAACUCGUACUCAUAGUUAAGCAGCAACAUGAAUAUGAGACUAAAGUCCCUCUAUGCAUCCUACUACUUGCAGCCCCUUCUUAAAAGAGAUUUGAGCAGCCGUCUGAAAAGACUAAUGCUGCUCAAAAGAAUAUGUUUAAAAAGAAUAAAAAUCACAAAGUGAGUGCAGCAGGAUCUGGAAAACAUAGAGUGCUCCUGCAAUCGAAUGAACGUUUAGGCGCGGAACUGUGCUCAAAAACCCCAAUUAGAGAGUAAUUUUGUUUAUAAGCUGGACCAGAGCAAAUCAUAACAAUUUUUCUGAAUUCCCGACUCCUUUUACACUCGAGUUCGAACCAUCUUCUAUAGUAGAUGGGCUUAUGUUCAUGCAACAUUGUAGAUUACAAAGUAACAAAGCCCAGCCACAAGAAAGGCCAACAUGGCUCAGUUAAUUGAAGAAGAUAAUUUGAUUUGUUGUGUCACUCUCAAAUCUCUCAAUCAGUUGCUUUGAUGGAGAUCGGCUACGAUUUGUAGAUUGAUUGGGAUGUUACACGUAACUGAAAUCACAGUAACAAUAUGGACAUACGGUCUGCCACUUGUUGUCCAGUUUCGAGAGGAAACAAAAUUAGAAUGCAAACAAGACGAUAUCUCAAAACUAAUCACAUAUUAAAAUCUCAAAAUACGUGACAUUGCAUUAAUCAUCCAAGAUGCCAUGAAUGCCUAGGCGUACAAACGCGGAUGCCACAAGAUUCGACAGUUCCACCACUCUAUAUAACUUUAAACAGCGGCUACGGUUAGAAUGAGGAUUUGAUGGGAAGCUAAUGCGCACAUUGAGAACGUGAGGUUUUAUUAUAUGGCAAUUAUAUGGUCACGUGAUGUUAUUAAUUUACAUAAAAUAAACGUUAUGUAUAUAUACAAGCCUUUUUAUGUAGAAAGAUUUUUCAAUGUGACCGUCACACGGGAUGGUACACCUCGUGUUAUUACAUAAAUAAUGGGGUAUGUUUGUCAAAAAGAUAACAACUUAAAAAAUAUAAUUUUCCACUACUUACAUAAAAACACAUUGUGUACCAUCCAUGUUCCUGUCACAAUUAAAAAUUUAUCCUUUAUGUAAAGGGAUCCCCAUUUUUUCAAAAAAUGAGGAUUAAGUGUGGGGCUCCCUCCACAUCGAACUUCAACGAUCCGAAUCGUCUAUUUUGUAAGUCUCUAUUUAUAUAUCAUCCUUACAAAAAUUCAAUUCAAUCCGAAACCAUUUGUCUAUUUAAUUAUCAAGAUAAAAUUUUAUUGUUUCUUAUAUAACAAAGUAUUCGUUAAUUUAUUUGGACCCAAUUAGAUGUCUUAAACAUUUUCGAUUAGCUAAUAUUUUGCAAUGAUGAUCUAUGCGAUGCAACUUGAAAAAUAGACGAUUCAGAUCAUUAAAGUUCGAUGUAGUGUGGACCCCACAACUAAUCCCUAUUUUUAUAAAAAAAUGAGAACCCCUUCUUUUAAAGAUUUCCUAUAUAUAUACACACACACAUAUUCCAUGCCACCGACGAUCAAGGAGACAGGAGACUGGAAAUUUCCUGGCCUGUGAUCAUAUCCCCUCCCGCACAUAGCGGCAGGUUUAGCCCAUCUUUUGGACCACCUCAAUUUCUAUGUUACCACUUUACGCUGCUCAUUCACUCAUCACCGACUCAGAGCCUCAGAGAGCUGCUCAAUACGGCACGCGCGCGUCCUCUGCUAUCUGCUCUGCUGACAUUGAAGAACCUGUAGUCACCACGCCACUUGUUCAGGCAUGAAUGUUGAAAGCCUUCAUUUUAAUCAUGCAACUCCACACGCUCUUUGGGAGUUGGAAUUGGAAUUGUUAAUGUAUGCAUGCACACAGGGAAUUUAUCAAAAUUAACCACAUCUUUAUAAUUUCUAAAACAUGGACCAAAAUAUAUACCAUCUAGUUCUAAUCGAUUGGAUUUUUAUGUUUCAGUUAUACUCCGUUGCAGUUAGCCGCACUUGCAAACACAAUAACGACGAUAUCAACUAUAACGGGAUUAAUCCGCAACCUAACGUAAGAUAACUUCUUUAUACGUUCUAGGGUUUUUAAAGGGAAAUUAUGUUCAACAGAAAGCAACUGCCAUCACCAAACAAAAAGAGGGGGCCACUGGUCACUGCAUUACUUGAUUAGUAGUUAAUUAACAAGUGUACGUUCCUCUCUGAAUCUCAAACCGAAUUUGUAAAACUGCUAUGCAUGAAAAAGCUAGGCAGGGAGGUAUACAUAAAUUAAUCAUGUCCAGCUUUAGAAUAUUAGGCGGCAAUUAAUUAACAAUUCGGGUAAAUGGCGCAUGGGUAAGGGAAUUGGCACUUUAACACCAGUCGGCCGGUUAGGAAGCUUUACGUACGUAAUUGCCGGAAAAAGACGAAACAAAGGUGAAAAGGAAGAGUGAAAAAAGCAAUGUCGGCCAAGCAACGCGUACGCAAACUCAGCCGACAACUAUACAACUAGGGUAAUUCACAUAUCUCCUGCAAAAACAAUAUGUUUCAAGGAUCAUACAAAUUUAGUUUGGCGAUUAAUUCUGGGUUUUUAAGCUGACGAUUACUUUACAAAACCUACCAAAAUGAUUACAAUACGAUCGAUGCAUGGUACAUACACACACGUAUAUAUAUUAUUUGUUAAAUAAAUGCUUUAUUCAUAUUAUGAAAUAAUACUAAAACGAUACUAUGUCUGAAAAAAUAUCAUGUGAUAUAAAACAAAAAGUGUAGUCUUCAAAAGUUGUCUGAAUGAAUAGGAAACUUUAACGAAAAACACCCGGUACUGUUCACUUGAACGAAAAACCACAUUUUUACACUAAAAAAUCAAUCCUGGUACUAUUCACUUUACUCUUUAUUGUCCUUAUCAUUAAAACUCAAAGUUUUCAAGCCCUUUUCAUUAGUUUUCCUGAAUAUGGUAAUCAAAUCUCAGUUUUGAGUUAAUCAAAUUUCGCAAUUAACGUUGCGAAUAAAUAUAUGAUAUUCUUGGGAUAAUUUGUUCAACCUCUCCAUAAAUGGGGGUAAGGCUAGCCGACAUUCACCUCUCCCAGACUCUGCGUAAAGCGGGAGCCUUGUGCACCGGGUAUGACCUUUUUUAUAUAUAUACCAAAAAUGAAAGAUUCUGUUCAUGAGGUAUAAUCCAUUAAUUUACAUACAAAGCUCAAUAUAUACUAGCUAGAUCAGAAGCUGAAGAUAAUGCAGCUGCUAAGCCUACCCGCAUGCAUGGCCUGUAGAGACGACGUAGGCCAAGCUAAUUUAACAAUAUUGAUCCUACGGCCCUACCUACACAACAAAGAUUUAGGUUAGUUAAGUACGUAUUAUCUGCUAAACCAUGAUUAACAUCACUGAAAAUGAAAUUUGCGUUUCUCAUGGAUUAUUCCACACUACAGGGUUUUGCGUUUUUUACUGCAGCCAUUAAGAAUGAGAACGUACGGCAUCAAUUUGUAUGCGUUUCUUCUUUUGUAAGCUUUUUCCCUUUUACUUUUUAAAAUGUUUUGGUCAAUCCCAAAAUUCUCAAUUGACGCAUAUUUUGAUCUAUAUAUAUAUAUGAAUGCACGAGUCUUAGUGCAUACCACCUCCUGAGAGUAAUAUAACCACCCCAUUUGUUAACCAAGUCAAGUUUUGGAAGCUCAAAAAAAAAAAAAAAAAAAAAAAAAAAGAAGUUUUCAAUUUUAGUUGGUUUGCUACCACCCUUGGGGAGUGGGGUGCCUUACUAACCUGAGUAGCAUAGGACAUGUUUAAUGCAACCUCGCACCCCGCCUUUACCCACCCAACUCAAGCUUUGCCAGUACCAAUCACUUUAAUGUGCUGCAUAGUUACAAAUCUAUGUUACCAGGCUCAAUAGUAGUUUUCAAUUUUUGAAAAACCAAAAAUAGUUGCUAACAAGUUUUUAGUUUAAAAAAUAAAAAUAAAAAUAAAAACUGAAUUGAAUUGGUUAUCAAACAACCUUUUAUUUUCAGUUUUCAAACUCUUAUUAGUACACACCAAAAAUUAACCAUUUAAGUUUUUUUUUUUUUUUAAAUCCCCGAAUGUAUGAAAACUCAAAAAAUAGCUUUCAAUUUUUUUUUUAAACUGAAAACAUUUACCAAAUAAGUUUAUAGUUUUUAUAAACUAAAAUUAAAAAUAAAAUGAUUAUUAAAUGGUCAGUUAAAUUUUAAACUCACAUAACAAAAAAUGUUGAGUUUCGCCCCACAAGAUUGUAAUAACGUCGGAGGUUUCCGAGAGUAUAACAGUUAUAACAUUUGCAUGAUCAGAUAUGUAUUGCAACUAUGGAGAUGAAAAUAAUCAAUCCAAACGCCCUUUAAGGGAAAAAAAUUGAAUUAUCAUGUCAUAGAGCUUCCUUUAAUUUGUUUUAGCUGAAUGAGGAGACAGCUGAAAAGAAGAUAUGUAGGCAUAAUAAUUAAAGUUGGCAUGCUUCUAAUCAAAAGAUAAGAUAUAGUCAACAACCUAGCAACCUAGCACUAGAUCCCAAGCGUAGCAGAUAAGUUUGUAGCCAAUGAGAACUACAUGAUGUUGAUGGUGGUGCAUAAAAAGCCACAAGCACACAAUUAAAUACACAAAACUAUGAACAAGGAUCCUCUCCAGAUCUUCUUUGUGAGGAUCCAAGUCACGCCCAUUCAAUUAUACUGAAAAAUCUCUCAAGAAUAUAACCACUCAAUUAUACUUCACCCUUUUGUUAUUUAAUGAAAAAGGGAAACACCUCUACAUUAAAUCUACAGAUUUCAGAAUUAAAAAGCGGAUUUGGAUUCUAUUCGGAUUCAAGUUGUGGGAAUCCUAGGGAUCCUUGCAUUCUAAUCGUUUAUCGUACAUCGUACAGUCAGAAAUUAUUUUAAAUUUAUUUAUUUAAAAUUAAACACAAAUAAUACCUAACGAAAUGUACUAUGAGCGGCCAUGAUAUGAGGAUCCCUAAGAUCCUCACAAAGAGGAUCCGGAGAAGAUCCUCAUCCUUAAAAAGCUACAUUCUUCCAUUCAAGCAGCGCCUAAAGUAACAUGCAUCUCCAGAAAUCAAAAUUACUAUAAUAUGAAGUUGCUAUAAUUCAUCAUCAUCCUUUUUAACUUUUAGGGUGUUCAAACCAACAGUAGUAUUGCCUAUAUUCUGGUGAUUAAUAUGUAUCUGCAAGUGUUCAAGCUAGGUGAUUGUUAAGAAGGAAGUACAGACGUCAUGAACUUUUAUCGUAAGAGCAACUUUUACGAGUACACUGCUCCUAUAACGUGUUAUGUCAUGAAAGUAAUUCUCCUUAGGCAUUAUAAAUUAGAAAGAUCUUUAUAUGCAUUCAACAGUUAAAUAAUUCAAGUAAAAUAUUAAUGUGUAUUGUUACCAUUUUAUCCGUGUCCUCAUCAAUUUCGCAUCCCAGGAGGUACAACGUCUCCAAGAAGCCCUUCGUCUGUAGGAAGAGGUGGGGUUGGCUGACGGUCAGUGGAGUGGGAUGAUCCUCCUGCAGCUUGAUCAUCGUCAUGACGUGGGACUACUACUUGGUGCGACGAGGUUGGGGUCAAAUUAAUAGGACUAGUUAUCUCUCUCGGUCGAAUUGUUGGAUAAUACAUGAACUGUGAGGCUGGAGGCAGCUGAGACAACUGGUGGCCUGUAAAGCCAGAUUCAUGACCCAUGACUCCCCCACGAGGGAAUGCAACUGUAUGAUGACAGUGUUGGCCUUCAUAUGUGGUAAUUACAGUUGUGGGAUCUUGAGAGGAACGCUCAACUCUUUUCUUCACUGUGCAUUUGGUAUUUGUGCAGCGAUAAUAGCUCCUGCAAAUUAAACAAAAGAUUGAGUGUAAGAAUGUGCAUAUAAAAACUACAAGGCAUGCAUGUACAUACAUUUACUGUUCGAAUAUUCUUUUGUUUCAAUAAUUCAAUUUGAAGUUGUUUGAGCCCAUCUUUGUAAAUUUUGUCAGCUAGAAGAAAUUAGUUGUUUAAUAUUCAAGUAUUCUCUGUUGGUAGAUAAUGGCAUGGCACGCUCACAAAUUAUACAAUCUCUAGACGUAUUCCUGAGGCUUAGAAACUUAGGGUAAACAUAAAUAAAGUUAUCAGUUGUAAGAAAUUAAGAAAAAUGUUUCCAUGUUUAUAGAUGACAAGGAUUUAACAAUCUCAAAAUGAAAUAUAUAGCGGGUACCAUAAGAAAAUUGUUGUUUAAUCAAAUCAACCGACAUUUUUAGUUUGAAUUCAGCACUGAAAAGAAUAUCAAGUUCCUCGCCAGCUAAUUUAGUGGAGAUAGUAAUUUGGUGACAGACCUUGGAAGCCAAGCUUGCCUAGCAGCUGCACGUAGUAUCUUCAGCUUAACUAGUGUGUGUGUGUGUAUUAAGCUUUGUAUGUAAAUGGUGCAUACCUCAUGAAUCAGAUUCUACAUGAGGUCUAACAUCCUAGUGGAUGGAGUGUUGGGUGUCUAUUUAUGCGAUGAGAGUUCGAAAUUUCUUCCUCCCUAAACUAAUGAAAUAGUUUCGAACCUUUCCCAAAUAACAAUAAAAUAAAAAAAUUUAAACAAAAGUUAAAGACCUUGGAAAGGGGCUAUUUUUAACAGCCUUCUGACCAUAUUUCCGCCAACGGUAGCCAUCCUCAAGAUUAUCAACUUCACUCUUUGUCAUGAAUGCGAAUCGUGGCUGCCGGAUUCUCUUCGGCCCCUUCAUUUUAACCUUACUCCUACAAAAUAUUUUACCUACAAUUAUCACAACAAAAACAAUAGCUUGAAAAAUCCAAAGAAAAAUGGCAAAACAUAAGUGAAUUUUAUUUCCUAUAUAUUGGAAAUUAAACGGAAAUGUUAUAUAAAGUACUACUACAUAUUCGUGCAUGUUUAGUUUCUAAUUAAUGUGAUCCAACUAAAACUAACACCAAUGAAAGAGUGGUGCUCUAUUAAUUAAAUUUCAAUUACCACUGAAAACUAAUACAUUCAUCAGAAAAUUAAAAGGGAAAUGUGGUGUAUUAUGUGUAUAUAUAUCAUGCAUUAUGUUUUACGUUAAUUAAAUCUAAAAUGCAAGUGUAUUUGUAGCUGUUAAAUACUAGAGUUUUUGGAAAUACAACCAUAUAUUUAUUUUAACAAUUACUGAUGGCAAAUUUGAUAUCAAAUUAGGUUACUCAUUGUGUAGCUUAGCUUAACUCUCCAUCUUCUCUUGUGUAAAAAUAUAUUGAUGUUCUAAAAAAACAAUUAGUGCACAUCAGGUGGGAUUGCAGAGUAUAGGACCAAACCUUAAAUUGUCAGGGAAUAAACCAGUAAUUCUUAUCAAAAUUACAUUAAAUCUCAAAUUCCAAACAGUACUUUACAUGCAUUAGCAAAUGGUUCAACAUGGUCAGCGACUAUAAGUGAGAUGGUGUAUGUAAUUUUGAAAUUUUCAGUGUGUCAAGAACACGGUCAAGUCAUAAUACCAGUAGUUGAAUUUUUUUUUUUCAAGUAUUCAAUCACUUGUAUCGUUCAACCACCUGUAUUGUAAUACUUGAUGUAACAACCCAUAUUCCCGGCACAUUGAAAAAUCUCUCCGUGUAAUUAUAAACCCCCAUUAUUAGGAAGAAAUCCAAAAAUAUGGACCACAAAUUAAAGAAGAAUCCAGAAUUAUCAUCACCCAACCCCCUCUUUAUUAUGGUAAUGCAACUUAAGAGACAAAUAUGUCACAUGCAUCGAUCACUUACUCACGAAAAUGCUACUGCACUAGACGCAAUAAUAACGAAACGAAUCAAUAUUAAAAUAUUAAAAAACCCUACAACAAAUAAAGAAAGCAUAAAAUUACAUUAUUGUUCCUCAUUAAACCCAAAUCAUUUACAAACAAUCAUAUAAUAAAAACUCGCUUUACUUGCACCAUAUUCUCCCUCUUUUUUCCCCGCACGCGUUUACCUAAAAGUGUGAAUUUUAGCACGCCAUCCGGCCGCUGUUACGGCGGUGUUCGCGUCCAUAAAAUUAGAAACCUGAAAAGCCCUUCCAUCUCGGUUAAAUUUGCUUUGCCACGCCCUAAAUCUCUGUGGAUUUACGAAAAUGCCACCCCAACUUGCAUGAAGUGGAGCUUCUUCUAGUUUCUUACUUUCUACAGCGUACGGACGCACACCCCAAUUGCAGAUUUUGCACUCCCUUUUUGAUAUUUUUCAUUUUUCACCGUUUAACUAUUUAUUUUGUUAAAAGAUCCCCUACCACAGUAUUAGCCCACGAAAAAGCAAGUUAAUCACGCAUUAAGCCAUCAUUAAUAAAUAAUACUCAAUCAUGGAAACCCAACUCACGGUAUCUCGGACGGUGGUUUGCCACCGGAGCCUGUAGACCUCUCAGGCGGAUCCUCGCUGGAGCUCGUUGACACUGACGGAUUGGUCGAAGCGGAUCCGACAACAGGGGCCGGGUCGGGGCUCCCAAAGGCGGCGCUGCUACUGCUGCUGUUGUUAUCCAAAACAAGAGGACCACUACUAGUAGUUCCCGCCAAAUCGGACGUGUCGGCGGCGGCGGCGAUGGGGUCGAGGCAGGGGAAGCCGUCAUCGGGUUUGGAGGCUUCCGGGUUGAAAAUCCAGCCGAAGUCGCUGAGUAUGUUGUUGUCUCUGUCGUGGGUAUUGAAGAAGUAGGCGCUGUCCGAGUCGGGAGUCCAGGUGUGAGUCGUGAACUCGGUCGUGGUUAGUGGAUCGCGUUUUUGGUUGUUGUCGUCCAUGAGAAUCGAUCAGGACGAUCCGCCGUGGAGUGGUGGAUUGUAAUCGGCCGUGAGAAUUGAGCAUGAAUUUGAAGGAUGAGGGAGAGAGAGAGAGAGAGAAAAAAAAGAGAUAAAAUUAGGGUUUUGGUGAGUGAGUGUUGGGAAGGACGCGUAGUUUUUGAACUUUAUGAGGAAGGGAUGGAAAGCUUAGUCUCGUCAAUGCACAGUUGCAAUAUUUGGAGAGAGAGAUAGAGAGAGAGGGAGGGAGGGAGGUGGAAAGAAUUGGAAAAAAGGAAUCAAAUGGAGGAAGAGAGAAGGUAGGGAGAGAAGAGAGAAAAGAUAAGUUAGAAAAAUCGCCGUCAACCUUGCAAAUAUAGUACUGGAGGCUCAGAUUUAAGCAAAGCCAAGGAGAGACCGGGGCAAAUGGCCCCCCACGCGUUUAUACAUAAGAAAAGAGCCUAUUUUGCAUUUCAGCUGGCUAAGAGUCUUCAUUCUUGUAUUCAUUUGAAUUUCUCUCCAAACAUUGCUUGUAUCUAAACAAUGAAGACAAUUAAUACUCAUGUCUACUUAUUCGGUGCACUUCAUUGUCCACUCAAUUGUAAGUAAUAUACUUUUAUCGUACAAAUAUCUUAAGGAGAACCAUUUAUUUUUUUAAUAAUAAUUUAAAUAUCAUCUUUUGCUAAAAACCAAUAAAAAAAACUAUCUAACCAUCCUCGUGUAUCCAACGGUUUUGAUGCUUCAACCUUAUUACUACAUAUGAGUGACAAAAAAAAUCGCCGGUUCAUUUGAUAUUUGGCAUACGAACUUUAAAUAGUUAUUCGAGAAUAAAUAGUUUUGACUACAAGAUUUUUCCAAUAAAAAUAUGUUAAUUACAAUUAGAUGUAUUUUUCCGUGAAAAGUAGUACUAGGUAGAUCAAAUUUUUAAAUCAAAUUUGUACACUAUGUGAUGUGUUUAAAGUAAGAAACAAACAUGUUAAUUAACACUUAAGUACUAAUCUAACCAUAAACACGUCAUAUGAUUUACAAAAUUUAAUCUAAAUAGUUGAUUUCUCUAGCAUUACCCUUAUGUUAAUUACAGUGAGAUGUACUUUUCUUCAAUUUCUUUAUAUUCAUGUCUUUUGGCUACGGAAUUAAUGCAUCAUGUAUAUAUAUAUAUUAUUGCAUGGGUCAGAUGUUUAUUGAGUAACUUAAUUGAAGAAUAGUAGCAUGGUACUUUGUGAAUGCCACCCUUUAUGCGUGUGUGUGUGUGUAUUGAAGAUAUAAUCAUGUGGCCGGUUCAUGUGGUGGUGAAGGAUUUUCGUCAUUAUAUUCAUCAUUUUAUUUUCAAGUUUAUUGUAGAAUCCCAAACUCGAUUUUUUUAUUUCAAUAUAUGUGUUUAAUUAACGAUGUUGAUUACAUGUACGACUGUUGCAAUGACUUAGACAAUUCUCCAAUGCUCAACAUUCAUGGCUUUAGUUAACCAUGUUGCUUGAGUUGUAACAUCAUGUUCAUACCAAUAAUUGUGAGAACAUUAACACGUGUAACAUAUAAAAAAAUCCAUCUAUGGUACGAUUAAGUUUGAAUUCGUUUUGUUUUCUCUUCUUUGUGGCUUUUUUCUAGGGAGUUUUAACGAAAAAUCCGCGGUACUGUUCAUUUUAACGAAAAACCACAUUUUACAUUAAAAAGUUAAUUUUGGUAUUAUUCACUUUACUCUUUAUUUUGUCCUUAUCUUUAAAACGCAAAGUUUUCAAACUCUUUUCAUGAAUUUUCCUUUUUUUCUAUGAUACUUAUAGUUAAUUCUUAGAGAAAUUUUAGGAGAUGGAUAUGUUGCACUACUUCUUUUACACACGUUUUUGUGGGGCUCUUUGUAAUAUGUAUUUCAACGAUCUGAAUCGUCUAUCUUUUAGGUCUUCCUACAAAGUUCAUGUCUACCAAAAAUUACUCAAAUCUAAAACCAAAUGACGUUGGAUUAAGGGUUUAGAGUUUCUUUGUAGAACUGUAUUCAUCCAUUUUCUUCAUUACAAAUGAAUGUAUUAAUUAUUCUAGAUUUGUCUAAUUUUGCAAUGAUAAUCUAUGAAUGAUGUUCUGAAAGGUAGAUGGUCUGAAUUAUUAACAUAUAUUACGGAAUGGGCCUAACAAAAAUGUGUGUAAAAAAUUAUGUAAAAAAACGGUGUCAUGAAUCCACGUUUAGUUCUAUAUUUGUUCAUAGAGAACAAGUUUUCUUUUCUCACGAAUCUCACCAAUGUUUGUCGUGUAAAUGUUAUAUCUAGAUAUGAAGAGAACUCUUUGUUAACCAAAGAGAAAUAAACAACCAUUUGACAACGAUAAACUAACUAUUAUGUCAUUAUUACUCUAAAUCAAUUUAUAUAUAAUUUGAUUUACCCACCUUCCUCUAUCCAACACCCCUAACUUCUCUCUCAAGCUCUCCAUAGUCGCUUGCGGUAACUAACUCACAUUCAUAGCGUAAUUUUUCUCCUUAGUAAAGUUCGUCAUAAUCAAUCUAUGCAUCACGUGGGUAAAUGCUAGAUACACAUGACUAGAUUAGAGCGAUGAAGUAUUGCUAUCAACUUUCAUGAACCGUAGUUAAUUAAAAUUAAAGUCAAUGAAUCAAAUCAGAAGGUGUUGAAAUCAAACGAGUAUGGUUCAGUUGUCAAAUUAAGUUUCAACAAACAAUGUAUCCAUUUGACCAAAAAAUAAAUAAACAAACCAGCAAUGUAUGCCUACAGGCUACAGCAAUGUAUCCAUUUGACCAAAAAAUAAAUAAACAAACCAGCAAUGUAUGCCUACAGGCUACAGGUGAUAAGGGGAUGAACACUUAACCAAGUUCAUCAUCCCCGUUUACCUUGAUUUCUUUGUCGUGUCCUUUUCUUUUUACAAAUAAUAAAUCAAAUAUAUUUAUCUUGGAGGAUAUUAUUUUCCUCAAAAAAAAAAAAAAAAAAAAAUCUUGGAGGAUAUUAUUUUAUUAACCAAAUUAAAUAGGGAACUUUAACGAAAUCUAUUCACUUUAAUGAAAAACCACAUUUUUAUAUUAAAACGUCAAUUCUGCUAUUUUUUAUUUUAUUUUGUUUUUAUCGUUAAAACUCAAAAUUUCCAAACUAUUUUCAUUAGUUUUCAUAAUUAAAUACUACACUUCCUCAAUUGGUCAAGGCUUUUGAGAGGGAGGAAGGGAGAGAGAGAGGGAGAGAGAGAGAGAGAGAGAGAGAGAGAGAGAGACUGAUAUCCAAAUCUUUUUAAUUGAUAUAAAAACUAUUUGAGCCUCGUGCAAGCAAGCAAGCACGUCGUUUCAACCGAUUUUUACAAAAUAAAAAAUAAUAGACCAUGUAUUGUUAAAGGGAUUUGAAUCAUCUCCUCAGCUUCGAGGUUAAGUCUUAUGAGCAAAGCACAUGAAUUGUUAAAUUUUGAUUAAACGGUCACAAAUAUGAGAUUUUUUAAAAAUUAUAAUAUUUGUAUCUAUUUGAUCAAAAUUCAACAAUUCGUGUGCUUUACUUAUGAGGCUCAGCCUCCUAAGCACCGAAGAUGAUGCAAAUCCUUGUUAAAGAGCAACCAUUGUAAAAAAAAAUUUGGUCAAAUAUAAAGAACUGCUAACUUUGAAAAUCUUUGUGGAUAGUAUAUUUCGGAACACUAUAAUUUUUUUAUUUUUUAAGCAAUCGAUGAUCUGUAAGACCUACGUAGAAGUGUGAGAAGGACUUAAUUACAUAAAAUAAACUUACUGUCGCAUGACGUUCAAUUUAUGUAAGUUGCUCUGUCAAGAUACGAUAUAAAUUAAUAUACUAUGUAUUUUGUUAGAUGGGUGUGUGGAGACUGGGUAACCCAGGGACCCACAUGUCAUUUCACAGGAUUUUAUAGAGAUACGUUGGGGUAAUUGGAUCGAUUGUUACAAGAUAUAAGUUGAAAUGGAAAUGGAAAUUUAAAAAGAAAAAUUUUCCAUUCUGAGUGAAUAUUUCUGAUUCCAAAAAUUUGGAUGACACUUGAAAUGUACCUAACUAAUCCCAUUUGUCUUACUUAGUACUAUAAAAUAUCAUACAUAUCUUUAUUUUAUCAUGUUUAUUAUUAUAUUUAGAAAUGUUUUAUUUUGUAUUUUGUAUAUUUAAUCAUACUAUUGUAGGACUCCAUAUAAUCGCCUGCCCUAAAACAUUAGGGUCCCUCCUAGAAGUGGGUGACUCAAAAAUUGUGUUUUUUACACAUUCCACCGGGUAGAGUCAAUUAGUAAGUGUUUAAUUUGUCAUUAAUGAAUAUUUGGUGUAGUAAUAUUAAGCCUUUAUCUUGUUGGCGUUACACUAUUUAUAAGUUUGUGCUCUUAGAUAUGAUUUUUAUGGAUAAUGAGUUCGAUACCAAAUUAUUAAGACUAAUUAUCGUAUGUUUAUCCGAAAUCCUUUGGUAUUUAAUAUAAAUAUGUAGUUAUUUUGUGAAAUUUAACUUGAAAAGUUACCUCAAAAUGUAUGGAAAUUGGAAAGUAUAUGUGCAUUAUUAUGAUUUCAUGGUUGAAUUAAAGUCUAACCUCGGAAUCCAAAAUUUGUAAUGUCAUCAUCAGAGUAGUUGCGGUUUCCUCCUCAGCAUACAGUUGAGAACAGUGAGGAGCCUCUCCCCGUCCCUUGUUCUGGAUCCACUGGUUAUCUUAUUUGAUUAUUAUUACAAAUCUCAUAUCAAUUAUUAUCUUGCUAAAAUAAUAUUAAUUCUUUUAUGUAUUAAUUAAAUACAAUAAGAGAUCAAUAUCUUGCAAAUUAAUCUUUGAAUUAUUGGUUCUCUAUGAUGUCUAUACUAGCAUAUAUACAGGGCAGGAUGGGUCCAAGCUAACAAUAUCUCCGGCACAACCGGUGAAGAAAGCUUCUUUCUCAAAUGAACUCCCAAAAAAAAAAAAAAAAAAAAACAUGAAUUCUUAUGUAUUUUGAUCUCAUCCGAUUUCAUGCAAACUUUCAUCCAACUAAGAGCUGCUUUAGUGCCAACUUGCCAUAUCGAUGAUUUACUCCUAACCCAUGAUCCAGAAAGCUAUUCUAUUUGAAUGCGUUUGCACAGUGCACUUGAUUGCGCUGCAUUAUGUUGAACUUUAAAGAAGAAAAAAAAAAAACGAGAGUGACUCACUAAAAGCGUAAAACAUGAAUUCUUCAACAGUUCAGGAUUACCUCCAGCCUUUAGAUAAAGUAAUAGUACAAAUUCAGAAUUCACCAAACAAAAUACCAAAAUCCAGCUCGAUCUACAUAAACAUCACAUGGCAUAUAGAAACAAGCAAUUAUAUAUAUCACGUUCCUUGGAUUUGGAACUUUGUCUUGAUGUAGUUUAAUCAUUGUCAUGCAUGACUCAGACAAACCUACGCGAAUAAGGCGCUUUAUACAUUAAUUUGCAUGCCAGUAUAUCGUGUAUAAAUGAUAUAAUAUGUAUUCUACUGUUCUAAACAGUUUAGAUUAAACAUUAAAAAAUUUACACAGAUGGAUCAGAUAAUUUAUAGGUGCACCAUAAUUAGCAUAAUUACUAGCAUAAUCUUCUUAUUAUAAUAGUAUGGAAUGUAAAUGUACAAGGUACCAAUCAAAUCUUUGUGGGAUUAAUGUGGUAAAUCAUGAUUCAUGAGGCCCAAUAUGCUCAUUUUCAUAAUCUCCAAAGAUCUGCAUCUGUAUUCUCUGCAGAAGCCACUAGCACUGCCCAAAUUAAUGCGAUAAAGAACAAGUUUUUCUCUUCUUUUUUUAUUUAUUAUUAUUUUCAAACAAAAAACGAUUUGGGUUCCGACUAAAUAGAAAUAUAACUUUAGGAACUUCGGCCAAGCACAUCCUGUUCAUAUUGGUUUUAAUUUUAUUAUUUUUGUUUAUGUUGGUGAUCGUUGUUAAUUAUGUAGCAAUUAUAUGAUGAAGACUCAAAUUUUUGUGAUCAAUAUUGCAAGGGGCCACUUUCCUUGAGUUUUAUUUUUUAUUUUUUCUACUUUUGGUUUACCCUCGCUCUCAAGAAAUGUAUAUUGACAGGGGAGGUAUAUUAUGGUAACCCCUAUCCUAAUAUAAUGGAACGCAUAAAUGCAUACAUAAUUCCAUAUAUUUUAUAGAUCAAAUGUAGGCAAUUUCAUGUAGUUGGCAGUUGGCACGUAAAAAAAAGAUCCAACUCACUUUCAUGAUAUUUAACUCCAUCGAUUGACAUGGAAAAUAAUUGUAUAAACUUUAUAUUUUAGGGCUAGUUAUGUUAUAAUACAACAACAAAGUUUUAUCUCAUUAAGUCGGGUCGACUAUAGUGGUGGAUCAAAGAUUUGAAUUUUGGGUGAUCUUGCUCUUAUAGGUCUAAGAUUUUUAGACAGAAACAGAGAGGAAAACAAGCAAAAAAUUUCAAUUUAUUAAUUGAGAUAUUUCGUCGAAUACUUGGUGGGCUUGUUGUUAUUUGACGCGCACAUGUCAACAUAUAUUGAGACAAUCUGUCGAGUGCUAUCAGCACAACAGGUCUCUGUCAAGAUAUAUUAGUAAACAUUACAUAUAACACUUGGUGAGAACAAAAAGGAUCCGUACCAAAUAUUCGGAAGGUCAUCAGAAGACCUUCACAUAUAUAUUUCCCGGAUUCCGGGUGGUUCUAGGACCACCUUGGUCCUAAUGUACAUCUGCCUCUUGUCAGCUAUAUGAAUUCUAGAACGCCACUGCGCUCGAUUUUGCGUCGUGUCUUCUGUUAGAUAAAAGUACUUCAUAUCUUUUCUUAAAGUCUCUUUCCAAAUCUUUCUAAGUCUUCCUCUAUUCCUUUUGUUCUAAACCUCUACUCUAAUAAAAAAGAAAAAGAUGCUAAGAAUUAUCCACAGCCAACACAGAAAAAUUAUUACAAGCAUAAAUAUUACAACAAAAAAGUAGGUCAGGGCAUCAUCCCAAUAACCAGAAGCAUUGAACCCUAGAUGUGUUAUGUCAUCAUAAGUUUCCAUUGUUAGUAAAUUAUAAUCAUUACACUCACUAUAUAGUGGAGGCAAAUAUGCCAUGAUUCUAGCUUGAGCAACCAUUUUGUACAGUUCCCUUAGCAAAACCCUAGCACUGAAAGGGACAUACACAACCAUUUGGACCAAAAGAUAUAAGUUCUGCAGAAUCUUAACUGCUCACACAAAUAUAUGCAUGUCGGAAGUGAAAUAUACCAAAUAAUAUGUAUAUGCAUGAACCAAAUUGCUAGCUAGCUUUCAUGCACAAAUAAUUGUUGGAGAUCGAGUGUUCCUCUUUAACUUUAGCUUUAUAUAUAUCGUACAGAAUCAUUUUUUAUCAAGUGGUGCUGCUUUAAAAUGCAAAUAACUUUGUUUCUGUGCUGUAAUCUAUGAAAUUAAGGAUGGACCACGCACUAGAGUUCUAUGGCCCUUUUCCUUUCUAUCUUCCUCCCAAGGUAUAAGUUACAAUUGGCAUUACUAUAUAUAGUAAAGAGCCUGCCUGAUUAACCACUUCAAUCACAUCAUAAGUUUAAGAAACCCAGACACGGAAAACAAAAAUGUUAAAACUUUGUAUAAAAUAUAUCCUAAUUUAACAGAGAUUUCUUACAGAAUGACUAAAAUUAUUGACGGUGGUCAAACUCAUAAAUCACUUCUAUCGAUUUUAAAUCUCAUAGAUCAAAAUGAAGAGUUAUACAAAUCUCAUAUACCAUUUUGGAUAGAAAAAGACCUAAAAUAUAAUAUAUUUAAAUGUAUAUACAGAUAUACUACAUAUUGUUUCUCAUUCUGCUUGAUAAACAGAAGCUUGCAACUGUAUCAGUGGCUUGAAAAGUCGGACACUUCAUGAUGUAGCUAGCUCGCUUGGGCAAAACAAACACAUUUGUGAACUAUAAAGCUAGGGCAUGCAAGUCCCACUAGAACUAUAAUGCUCAAUUAAGCUUUUAAGUCAUGUCUAUGAGUCUGUUUUUCUCCCGAUAUGCAUCUACAAUUUCUGCUUACGGUUUGUGGAGUAUUUUUUUAACCAUGUACAAGAGCAUGAUAUGAUUAAGAAUUUUAUGGUUUAUUUCUUUAGACUCUUUGACCAAAUAAAUAACGAAAAUAUGCAUCCACAUGCGCUUGAGCACUGUAAAUUUUUUAAAUUUGUUUAAAUGGAGAUGAACCAUAUUGAUUUUACAAACUACUAAGGGCGGAUGUAUAUUGGGAUCCAGGUGUUCUCAUAAUCGCUAGGAGACCGGGAAACAAGCACCUGAAGGUCAUCUAGGAACCUUCAGAAUAUUUGAUAUGGGUCUCCUUUGUACCCACCAAGUGUUUGAUGUAAUAUUUGAUAGGUAUAUCUCAACAACACUCGACAAGUUGCAUAGGCAACACUCGACAAAUGCUCUUGAUAGCACUCAUUAGAUUGCUUUGGCAAAUGUCGAGUUGACAUAUGCGCAACAUGGUUCGCAUGACGACAACAAGCCCACUUAGUGUUCGAUGAAAUAUCUUUAUUAAUAAAUUGAAAUUUGUUUGCACGCUAUGUUUCUAUCUACAAACUUAGAUCUUUGACAUUGAGACCUUUCAAAGUUCAAAUCCUAAAUCCACCACUGCAAACCAUAGCAGUAGGCCAGUAAUUAACCAUUGCAUUAUUAAAGUAGGAGUAAUACUAUAGUUUUUUCUCUGUUUAAAGGUGGUGUUGCUGGUCUAGGAACUCUAGGUGAUAGGUGAUUUUGUCAUUGUGUGAAACGGACAAAGAAAUCAAAGAUCGAAUGAGUUCCAAAACAACUUUUGUUAAGGGAAUCGUAUUCCAAUUGAGGCAUUUUUUUUAUAAUUAUAUUCUCUCAUAAUGUUAGGAUGCCAGUUCCAAAUUCAAAUCCACUUUAAAUGGUGAACACAUUUGUCUUUAGGAAUCUCAGAGAACUUCGAUGGGGAUCCUCCGAAUAACUUUCACAAAAAUAUGGUUAAUGGAGAAAAUGGCAUGCUAACUUUUGAGUUUUGAACUUUAGUUGAAUAUAGUAAGCUAAUUAUUAACUCGGGAAAAUCAAAUCAAUUUAUUGGUAAAAGAGUUCCUUUAGAAAGGCAAUUUGAAGAGCAUGAGAAAGAGAGGGAAUACCCUUUACAUUUAGUUGAAGGGAGAGGACACUAAACCAGGAUUCGGAAUAUUGUGCUUUGAGUUGGAUCAAAAGUGAUUGGGUUCCUCAAAAACGGCACUUGAUAGGGCCAUUAUACUUUUUUUUUAAGGAGCUAAUUAAAGUAUGGAGAAACACCAUCUACCUCAUGAAGAGCUAAUAUGCCUGCUUUAUGACAUGUUAGUUCUUCAUAAGAGAGCUCUACCUCAUAAAGUGCGUGGUUCGCCGAAAAUAGAGGUGAUUUUCGGCGUCAGGAUAAGGAGACAGAUGAUUAUGGCAAACCUGUAGAAACUCCAUUGAGAGAUAAUAUGCCUGCUUACGUUCAGUCUGUCAUAGUACUCAUAGGUAAUUUUCUUAGUAACAAUGAGCAUAUCACGAACACUUUAAGCAGUGGCGUAGCAUCCUUACGAAGCGCGAACGAUCCGAUAGAGAAAGAGGGUGUGAAUUCGGCAUGGUAUUUGAUAUUCAAUGCAAUGGACGAAGAAUCUGGAGCAUUUGUAGCCAAACUACCUGAAACAGUUGACCAAAUGUAACAAUUUCAUAGUUUCUCGUCAAUUAACAACUUCAUGAAGUUUAUAUAAAUGAAUGAAUAUUGAAAGUGCUUUAACAACAUAGAAAAAGUUGAAAUGCUUCUCGGUUAGCAAAAUACAUGGAAGAGAGAAUUUCAACUUGCUUCUGAGAAAACACUUUUGAGCUGAAGUGCUUUCCAGAGAAGCAUUUUCAAACGACCUAUGAUUGGUCUCCUAUAUUGAAAUUUCAACGACGGGGCAAUGAAAUCUUCAAAGUGAGACUGUGAUGAACCCCUUUGACUUAAAACUGAUAUGGCAAAGUAAAUUCCCACCUCAGCUGAGAUGGGUAGAGAGCGCUUAUGCAUUUGGCUAUGAAAGCAUCAAUCUUUUCACUUUGUGAAAAAAAAAAAAAAAAAAAAAAACCCACGUUGCAACCAAAAGUUUAUAUCAAAAGGAAACAAAUUUAACCAAGCCUUGUUGGGUUUGAGUGGCGACAUCUUUCCCAUCAGUCGUCACGUUCUUCACACGAAGCUGCCUCCUUGCUCGGCUGCCAGAACAAAAGGUUGUUAUAAAGAAGAGUCUUGAGUUUCUCCUUUUGUGGUUGGAGUCUGUGAAGCUUGAGACGAACUUUGACGGCUUUGCCGCCAUUGCUUUCUCAGUAUCCCUCUGAGAAAGCAGCAAGGAGAGAAUUAGUGAAAGAGAGAGUGUGUUACCUUUUGUCUGCUUAUCUUCCUCAUGUUUGAGAGGACGGAAAUGUUUUGAUUCGUCAUUUUCCAACGUCUCCACGAUUAAUCUUUUUUCAAUUAAUUGGCUAGUCCAACUAAAGAAAUUUUUUGUUCUUGCUCCAUGUUCUUUUGAUCCUAAAAAGUUUAGGUGGAGGGGAGGCUACCCCAUUCCAGAGUUCAAGCAUUUCACAAGUUUCCUUGAGGACUUGGAGAUCUUAGCCCUUCUUUUGGUUUUUACAUUGCCCAUCAAGAAGGAUUGUCAAUAGGUAGACUUGAACCUAGACUUUGAUCUAGUGAAAAAAAAACGAUCCUUACCAACUCAACCAACCAUCUUUCACUUAACUGGAAAUUUGGCACAAUUAUUUGCAUGAUGAUUGUUUCUGCAUUUCCUUGAAAUUUCUUGAAAUGUAUGUAAGAUUUUGAUCUCACUUUUAGCCAAGACAAGUGGGCCUUUCCAUUAUCCUAACAAGUUACCCUACCAUGCAAGCAACUACCACCUUCUUUUUUCUUUUCUUUAUUUUUUUAGAAAACUCAACUACCACCUUCUUUUGGUGACUCUUGCCCCUUCAAAUUGCAACUAGCCACUUUGAUUUUGUGGUGUUUUUGUUUGGCUGAGAAUUUGAUUUUUCCUUUACGCUAAUUCAAUUUUCAAAUCAUCCUUUUUAAGAGAUUAUGUUGUUGUUCAUCCAUUUCUGGCGAGAAAUUUUUUUUUAGUGUGACAGUCUUAUGUCGUUUGGUGUUACUAAUUCAGUAUUAUAUAUGGGUCAACAACAUUACAGAUAUUUCGUAAAAAUUAUGGUACAUUAUUUAUAAACAUAUUAUACAUGAAAAGAGCUAAAAACAUUAGAUGACAGUUUAACAAUCACACUGAAAAAGUAGUCACAACACAAAAGAUUGAUCCCUAAUAAUUUUAGAACAAACUAACUAUCAGGUAGUCUAACGAUAUUUCUCUUCAACAAACGAUAAAAGAAGUCUCAAUCUUCAAUUACUCUCACGAAAGAUUAAAACAAACAAAUUCUGGAAUGAAAUAAAGGUUUGGGCCACCCAAUCACUUCCUCUCAUUGAACCCAAAAUGAGGGACCCAAUUAAAGACCAUUCGAGAUUUUCCUUCGCUCAACAACAAAGCCCACCCAUUGCCAAUGGACCACAGUCCUCGGUGGCCAUCUGGUUCACCCACGUGGCAACACGUGGCGUGCAAAAAUAUUUUGACAAUAAUCUUUUAUUUAUCCAUAAAAAUAAGAUUAGAAAUAACCAAAAAAAAAAAAAAAAGUGAGAAAAAUUGAGGAGGGAAGAAGUUAAAAUCCUUCCCAACGGUCUCUCAAAGUUGGACCUUGGACUCGGAGGAUGUUAGAGCCGUCCAGUUCCUCUGCUUUUUCGCGGCGCCUUUCUCUGAUUUUUCUCACAACCACAGAGAAGGAAAAUAAAUACUUCUCCAUAGAAAACCCUUUGUUUCUCUCCAAUUUCUUCAGUAAUUCCUCUUCUUGUUUCAAGCACAAACCAAACCCAUAACCCAAAAACCGCGGCAGUUUGUGUAAGAAACACUGCCAAGUUUCGAUUUUUAUCGACAUUUCUCGGUACAUUUGUGGUUCUUGAUCAUAACCCAUGUGUAAUUUUCGGUCGACAAGUUUCAGUUUGAUCUUCUAUUGCUAAAUUCGUAAUCUUUUGCAGGCGUGACCACUUUGACAAUUAUUUGGUUUUUUGGCAAAAUGUUUGGGUUUAAGAAAUCGCCUGCAAAGAUUGGAAAGCAAGGUUCUGUAGACCCAGGUUUUCAAGCUGAUUCAGACGAGGGGAAGAACACGCUUAACCCCGCGAGAAGAACUUCUUCGGAACCUAUGCUUAUCACCCCGGAUUUCAGCAACGAAAAAAAACCAUUAGAGCAGCAGAGUAUGCAAGAGUUAGAGAAAUAUGCUGUUAACAAGUCCGAGGAGACAACAAAGAGUGUCAACAAUUGCCUCAGGAUUGCAGAGAACAUCAGAGGGGAUGCUACAAGGACCCUUGACAUGUUGCACCAGCAGGGUGAGCAAAUUACAAGGACUCACAUGGCGGCUGUUGAUAUCGAUAAGGAUUUGAGUCGGGUAAUCUCUCCUUCUUGUUAGGGUUUUGUAAUCUAGAUGAUUUUAGUUUUUCUUGUGACACAAGAAACUAUGAAACCCGAAGAGGAGCAGCAUUUUUUAUCGUAAAUACCUAAUGAUGCAUUCUGAAAACAGGGUGAGAAGAUUUUAAACAAUCUUGGAGGCAUGUUCUCAAUGCCUUGGAAGCCGAAGAAGACCAAGGAUAUUUCGGGACCCGAUCUGUCAUUAGGUUUGCUUCUGUUAUAAUCUGCUUGCUUCAUUUCUUGAUUCUUCAAAACCUCAUGAAGUUUUUUGUGUAUGGUGAUCAUGCUCAGCUUCUGCACCCAAAAAAGCUGACCCACAGCAGAGGGAAAAGUUGGGUUUAGGUCCGAAAGGGCGGUCAGCUCCUGCGACGCCUCCUCCAGAAGGCUCAGGUGCCAUGCAGAAAGUCGAGGUUAGUGUUUGCGAUUAAGAUUAUCAAGAAUGUGGCCACGUGCUCUCCCGAUUUUACUUAUUUUGGGAUUGGUUUGUGAAUAACAGUAUGAGAAGGCAAAGCAAGAUGAUGGACUUUCAGAUCUAAGUAACAUUUUGGGGGAUUUGAAGGGUAUGGCUAUGGACAUGGGAAAUGAACUCGACAGGUCAAUAUCUUUGUUCUUCGCUGUGAACUUUCUUCGUGAUUUGCAUCUAUAUCUCUGCAUUGUUGUUAAGUAAUUUGGAAAAAUGCAGGCAAAACAGAGCCAUCGAUAAUCUCUCUGACGAUAUUGACGAAGUUAACUCUCGAGUGAAAGGUGCCAAUCAACGUACACGCCGUUUGCUUGAGUGAAGGCCAACACUCUUAGAAAUACCGGCAAGCAGUCAACAGAAAAUUUGCAAUUUAUUUUUGAAUGUAUAUAACUGGUUCCCCCCUAUUUGGGAUAUACAUGCAAUAAAAUGAGCCUUUAUGUUCAAAUCUGUCAAAAACCAUGAGCCUAUAUAGUUUUGCAUUCCUAUUUUCUUCUCCUCUACUCUUUUUUUUUCGCAGUUUUUGGUUCGAACAAAUAAAAUAAGAUCCAGGGACGGGGCAGAAAUAAGGGGAUGAUGGCGGGAAGAGAACGGAAGUGAAAGUCACUACCGACACCAAAUGUGUGCAGAAAGUUUGAAUAUUUACAAGCACAGCAAUCUGCAGUUGUCGGAGCUCAGGUUUCCUCACUCUUCACAGGAGUCCAGUUACUUCCUGGAACGGCCUUUUUCCUGGAAUAUGAAAUGUAACCCACAACGUAUCCUAUAAAAACCCCAAGCACCAACACACUUGCUCCCUUCACAAACCAAGAGAAUGUAGACUCCCCACUGCUCCUAAUAACCCCAGCAUCACCACUGCUACCGAUAUUAACAGACUUGAUACCGCCUCCACCGGCUCCACUACCGCCGAGAACUUGGCCUGAAGCCAGAAUCUCCACCGUGUCGUGCACCUUCCCAUCAUGGUUUCCAACAUAAGUAAGUGUAAGCUUCUUCCUUGUGGCAACCAACCUAGUGUACCCAAAUUCACCACCGCGGUAUAAAGACCGCUCUGGCUGUGGGUACACUGGGUCAGUUGGAUGAUCUGGUCUAGGCUCCCAGAUCGGUUGCCAGUCUUGGCCACCCAUCCCAAUCACAACAUGAAUAGGUCCAACACUCCCACAAGUAUAGUUUACCAACUGACAAAACCUCUCGUAUCUGUGUACAUGUCCCCAUAGUGCAAGAUUUACAUUGUUCUUCACAAACAGAGGCUCCAAAUGCUCCAGCAUUUUCACCCUCAAAGGAGCAUCACCUCUCUCGUAGCUUGUUGUGUACAUUGGCCUAUGUCCUUGCACCACCACAAAUGGCGUCUUCCUCCUAUCCACCGCCUCCAAAUCCCGCUUAAUAAAUUCCAAUUGCUUGCUUCCUUCAACAAAAUUGGUCUCAGUUGAAAUGUACACAAAAUGUACCGACCCAACAUCAAACGAAUAGUAAAGAUUUCGUGUAGCUGGGGCACUUGUUCCAGUCGGUUCAGAUGAGUUUCCUGGCAUGUUGAACUUAAGACUGUAGGGCACCCCACAUUCUCCCCCACCAUCUGUCCCAUACAUUGUUGCCCACUCCGGUUUCCAUGGCUGCAACGGCCAAUCAUACUCGUGAUUUCCAAUACAAACAUGGUAUGGAAGCUUGGAUGCAAGGGGCUCAAUUUGGAUGAAGAAUUGAUCCCACAACCACGAGUACCCUCUCGCGUAGCUUAUGUCUCCGAUGUGGGACACAAAAGCGGGCUUUUCACCAAGAGCUUCAACAUCCCGGAGGAUCCAUUUCACAGUGGCUAUGCUCUCGUCUUGUGUCCGAAGAAACGUUGCAUAAGGUGUUGCAGUCCCCAUGUCACCAAACAUAAAGGCCGUAGUUUCGUCCGAGUCCUCGUUUCGUGCGACAAAGCUGUGCGUUUUGCUCCAUCCUUCAGAAUCACUUCCGACCUGAUCACAGAACACUUCCUGUCAGGUCCUCUUGAAAUGCUUGUUAGAAAGCACUUCUCUUCAGUUCAUGAGUGAUUUUACUAAAAGCACUUUUAUUAGAAGUACAUCGAAAGUUCGAAACUUUUAAUAGAAAUUAAAGUGCUUUCGGAACUGCCUCCUAAAAAAGCUACUCUGAAUACACUUCCAAGUUCCAAACAUUCGUAAUCAAACUUGUUAAGAAUUUAACUAGAACAGUAAAAUGUAAAUUUUACCUUGUAAUAAUAUCUGACGCCUUUUCCCAGUCGGGUCAUGACCGCAUCGUGGAUAAACCCGGGAUCUCUCCACCCGAUACUGUUGUUGGCGGGUGCAUCGCACAUGUGCUCCCUUUCAUACGUCCCCACACGUGCCACCACCACGUCAUCGAGCGAGUCCUCCCUCUGACCGUAUCGAACCUUUCUCUCCCCGCCGUCUGGGGUCACGAACAUGACCCGCAUCUCGUCAUCUCCGUCCGUGUAAGCGAGGUGGAUCUGAUCCGGAACACGACCCGAUUCGAAGCUAAGCUCGUCAUCUGAGGUGGCGAGCAGGUGGGCGGUGCCGGGGAGGGGGUUGUGGUCCUGGUCGACGUGGUUGGGGUCGACCUCGGACUCGUUCCAGCUGAAAAUCCGGAAGGAGUAGUUCAAUCGGAGAUUGACCAGAGGGAGGGAAAUGGAGCCGGACCCAGAUUUCCAUGUGGGGGCGGAGGAGAGGAACUUGUAUCCUAUAAAGUUGUCGUGGUGGGAGGAAGGGGGCGAGUAGAUGCCGAGCCAGUCGAGUCGGGAGGGCGAGUCGAUGCCGGACCAUUGGAUUAGGACGGAGUCGCCCGAUUUGGAGAGGGAGGUUGGGGAGAGAGAGAGUGAAACAGUUUGGUGGGUCGGAGGGAAGAAGGUGAAGAGGAGGAGGAUGAAAACGAAGGUUGUUGAAGGAACGGCCAUGGCGAUGGCGUAUGAGGUGACUGAUGAGCAAUGGGUUUGGAUUGGUAAAUAUCUAUCAAAAUAACAUUUAUUUAAUACUCAGGCAUAUUCCUAAUGGUUCUGCGGCAUCAAAAUCUAUUUAGUCACUGUUCAAUAUUAAUUAAUAUUAAUCAAUUAAUUAAUACUGCCAUUGUGUGUGUCAGAGCCAGCUCUGUGAGUAAAUUAUUAGUAGGUGAAUUAUUGUUUUUUCUUAAUUUUUUAAAUGUCCAACCACUUAGUACUACAACCUGGUAGUAUUCAUUUUUACUUGUAAGUAAGAGGUCUUAAAUUCAAUUCUUGCCAAAUACGAGUUUGAAUCACAUUAUUACUAGCUCAUUGUGAGGUUAAAUCUACCCCUUCUCCUUAGUGUAAAUAACAUCGUUCAUUCAAAAAAAAUAAAAUUACUUAAAGGUCCAAGGUUAAAAUUUUUAUUUUAGUUUUGUGGAAUUUUUUUAUUAGUUUGAAUCACACUAUUGUUAACUCACUAUAAGGCUAAGCCCCCCCUUUCCCUUUAGCGUAAAUAAUAUCGUUCGUUAAAAAAAAAAAUUACUUAAAGGUCCAGGGUUAAAAUUUUUAUUUUAGUUUUGUGGAAUUUUUAUAUUAUUUUGGUGAAAGUUAUGUAUUUAAUAAUAACAAAGUAAAACAUGAUGGAGGUAGAGCCUCAAACCCAUUCCCAAACGAUUACAGAGAAGCAUAAGCACCACUUGUGCUAACAGUUGAUUUUAUAAUUUUUUUCACAUAUAUUGGUAUAUAUACGUACAUUCAUGUAAAAUUGAAAAAUCGGGGCCCUAUGCAGUGGCACCACUUGCACAUCCUCAGGGCCGGCCCUAAUGUGUGUAUAAAAAAAAUUAAAAUGAAAAAUAUAUAUGGGAGAAAGGAGUUGGGGGGGGAAAUGUGAAGUAGAUAGAUCGUGAAUGUUAUAAAUAGGUUAAAAUUAGAGAAAUAACAUUUGCUAGGGACAAGAACGCGGAUGCAAAAUAUCAUACUGUUUAGUUUCGUAACUAUAACACAAAAUGAUUACAGGUAAAGAGAGGAAGGAGAUACUGAUAUAAUUGCUUUCACUUUUUUUCUUUACUGUGUAUUGUGAUUACACACGGAGUGCUCUUUAUAUAGCUACAUCCGUGAAGGUUUACAAAAAUGAAAUGAUUGUUUUUUGAAAAACCUCACAUAUCAACAACAACAACACAACUAUUCUCAAGUCUUCCUCACUAUUAGCUAAAAAGCAUGUGGGCAUACAUUUCCACAAUUUUUACAACAAUGAAAGAUUUUUUAAUUUAAUUUUUAAUUUUUGGGAAAUAUAGAUAGAGACAUGCAUUGAUGGUAUGUGGAUGAGAAAAUUAAAAAAAAUCUUUUUGUGUAAAAUUACUUUAAUAUCUAUGAAUUUUCUUUUCUAAUAUUUAUCUCAAUGCAAUAGGGUGUAAUAGUAUUUUUGUUUGGUUCUUCUUCUCUCUUGAUUUUGUGAAUUGGGGAUUUACAAAUUUGGUGUCUAUGAUUGUAAUUUCAUUCUGCUAUUCUGCAAGAUCUAAUGAUGCGAUAUCAAGUUUGAUUCUUUAAGUUUUUUUUUUUUUGGUUACAAAUGGUAAAAUUAUUACCAACCGAAAACUUAUAACACAAAGAGCCACACUAAAACAUAAAGAAAAAAGGGCCAAACAAACUAAAGGGCCAAACAAACUACACACCAAGGUCCAAACCAUAUACAUAACGCAAAAAUGGACCUUACAAACUACACACAAAGGGCCAAAACAAAGGCUAAAGCCCAAAAACAAAGACACACCGAAAGAGAACCCUAGCCUUCUGCUACAACCGCCUCUAAGCACCGCACAAACAACAAGAACCAUGUACACCAACUUACUCCAGAAUUCUGACCAAUCAACACCUCAGAGGCUAAAGCCCAAAAACAAAGACACACCGAAAGAGAACCCUAGCCUUCUGCUACAACCGCCUCUGCAGCACCACACGAACAGCAGGAACCAUGUACACCAACUUACUCCAAAAUUCCGACCAAUCAACACCUCAGAGAUGGGAGGAAGGAAGACCCCAUGAUCCAUCAAUGAAACCCUUUCCGACGGCAGCCACCAAGGAGAAGAAAACAAAGAGGCCUGUGAGAAUCCCACAAGCAACACUGCUAAUAAAGGCAGACCGAGAGAAUGAGCUGGUGUGGACACCUAAGUCGAUAUGCAAACCGGAGCUCGACACACCUUCUCGUUGUACCAUGAUAGAUCACGGUCAAAAGUAACUGCAUACCAAAUUUGGGUAUAAAUUGAUGAAGGAUGGAGCCAAAUCGAAAAUAAAGAAGAUCGGAUUUGUGGGGGAUGGAUGAAGGGUAGGAAGAUGGGGGGAUGGAUUGGAUGGAUAUGAGGAAUUAAUUGAGUAGGAAUAAUGGCAACAAGGACGCAUUAGGUCGCACUAACCAUGAUGAAUAGUAGGGGAAAAACAGUAACAGAAAAGAAGGGAGGGAAGAGCAAAAAGAAAAAGAAAAAGACUACCACCAACCCUAGCCAUAGCUAGCGUCGGCGCCCGAAUACAAAAACCAAUAACGGAAACCUCACAGGCAGUGAGAAAUACUUUCAGGGGAGAGAGUUAGGGGUGGUUUUG